GGAAGGAUGGUAAGAUUUUUACUAUUUGUCCUCAGUGCAUCUUUUCCAUACAUUAUUUUUGAAGCUAAACUUCAUUGCUAAGUAUGUUACCAUACGAUGUUCUUCAACAGGGACUCCCGAUGAAUGUUGUGCCUUAUAGGAUUGAGACUAAAGGUACCAUGAGUAUCAUUAGCUUACGGCCAAGAUAUCCUACAGAUUACUUUAGUGCAUUCAAGAUUAGCGACGGAUGCUUAAUAGUGCAAGACUGGACCAAAUAUGUGAUGGGGGAGCGCAGAGAAGUACUAGGGGGCAGGAAACAGAUGUGCUACCCACGAUUAGGAGACAGGUUCAUCUGCAUGCUCCAACUUGAUCAAGGAGGAGAGCUACACAUGUUUUAUGUUAUUUUACCUAAGAGAGAGCAGCAGGAGUGAUUAGCUAGCUAGAAAUGAGUUUGAGGAUGAUGAUGUGCUACACUAUUACUAUGAUGAUAAAAAGCUAGUGUUGGUGGUAAUGACUAUGAUGAUUAUUAUUAGCUAGUGUUAGUGGUGAUUAAAUAAAUAUUGUUGGUGGUAAUGACUAUGAUGAUGAUUAAAUAGCUUGUGCUGGCAGAUUAGAUUCAAGUGGAGGCAACAUGUGGUGCACAUCGAAAGUACUACUAGUCCAAACUAGAUCAAGUUUGGAUUAGUAGUAUACUUUUGACAUGCACCACAUAUUGCCUCCACUUGAACCUAAUCCACCUUCAUUUGACACACUGUUAUGGACAUAAUGAUGUAAACCUCAUAACUGGUAUUGUACCAAUAUUUGUACGAUGGCGCAUAAAUACACUAAAAAUAAAAAAGAAUACUAGUAGCGAUGGAGAGAAAACACGCUGCCAGUAGUUACAUUAGUAGGAGCGUGGGAGUGAACAAACGCUGCAGCUAUUUGUCCUAGCAGUAGCGCGUGCGGGCACGCGUUACUUCUAAGCAAUAGCUGUAGCGCCUUAUUAGUAGCGCGCCUACCCGCGCUACUAGUGAGCACAAAACCAGCGCUACUGCUAGGGUUUUCCCUAGUAGUGCUCCCCCUAUAUGCAGCGGUGUAACACCCCUUCUCCCCGCUGUAAUCUCUACUUAAACAUGGUGCUCAAUGCUAUAUAUUAUUUCUCAAUGAUGUAUGGCUAUCCUAUGAUGUUUGAGUAGAUCCGUUUUGUCCUAUGGCUUGAUUGAUGAUCGUGAUUGGUUUGAGUUGCAUGCUUUAUUAUUGAUGCUUUCCUAUGGUGCUCUCCAUGUCGCACAAGUAUGAGGGAUCCCCGCUGUAGGGUUUGCAAUAUGUUCAUGAUUUGCUUAUGGUGGGUGGCGUGAGUGAAAGAAGCACAUACCCGAGUAAGUAGGUUGUUUGCGUAUGGGAAUAAAGAGGACUUGAUACUUUAAUGCUAUGGUUGGGUUUUACCUUAAUGAUCUUUAGUAGUUGUAGAUGCUUGCUAGAGUUCCAAUCAUAAGUGGAUAUGAUCCAAGAAGAGAAAGUAUAUUAGCUUAUGCCCCUCCCUCAUAUAAAAUUGCAAUAAUGAUUACCGCUCUAGUUAUUGAUUGCCUAGGGACAAAUAACUUUCUUGUGUGACAAAAAGCUCUCUACUAAAACUUAGUUGUUUCUUUAUCUAAACAACCCCUACUUUUUAUUUACAUGCUCUUUAUUAUCUUGCAAACAAAUCGUACAACACCUACAAAGUACUUCUAGUUUCAUACUUGUUCUAGGUAAGGCGAACGUUAAGCAUGCGUAGAGUUGUAUCGGUGGUCGAUAGAACUUGAGGGAAUAUUUGUUCUACCUUUAGCUCCUCGUUGGGUUCGACACUCUUACUUAUCGAAAGAGGCUACAAUUGAUCCCCUAUACUUGUGGGUUAUCAAGACCUUUUUCUGGCGCCGUUGUCGGGGAGCAAUAGCGUGGGGGUGAAUAUUCUCGUGUGUGCUUGUUCGCUUUAUCACUAAAUAGAUUUUAUUUGCUGUUCCAAGUUGUUUUAUAUCUUUAGUUAUGGAUAUGGAACACGAAAUACCAAAAAAAUUAGGUGUACUUGCUACUCAUGGAGAUGGGGAACCUCCUAAAACCCUCGAUGCACAUUAUGUGAAAAUAUUAUGCACUACUUUAAUAAUCCCGAGAAAGCCCCAUUCAAUUAUAUAAUGGGAGACACGUUGGAUCAAUGUGAAUACUUUAGGGAUUAUCGCUUGACUCAAAAAUGGAAACUAUUAUGGGAUCAAAUUUAUAUGUUGCAUUGGUAUGCUCGAGAACUAUGCUUGAGAUAUGAUUGUACUUGUUGCUCUAGGAUGAAGGCUCCAUAGCUUCCCUUGUCAUGUAAAUUUAAUGAUAAUAAAACCUUGGCUUCUUAUGCUAAUGAUAUAUAUGAUUACUAUGAUGUUGAACGAAUAGAAGAAUUCAUUGCUUUUAAGGGUGCUUAUGAAAUUGACUCUUUGUUUAAAAAGUGUGAAAAUAUUUAUGAUGUUGUUUACAAACCUGAAAUUUUUGCUAUACUUAAAUAUUGCUAUGAGAAUUAUGAAUACAAUGCCGAUAUUUAUGCAUAUAUUGAGGACUCCUUCUCUGUCCAAGAGGAGACUAACAUUUUGCAGGAGUCUAUGGAAGAAGAAAUUGAUGAAACUGUGAGCUCAUUGGAUGAAAGAGAUGAUGAGGAGAGCGAAGAACAAAAGGAGGAAGAGCGGAUUAGCUACCUGUGCCCACCUUUCUAAUGAGAGUAACCCUCCAAAUCAUACAUUGUUUAAUGUCCUUUCGUUCUUACCGAAGGACGAAUGCUAUGAUCCUGUUGAUUCAUUUGAAAUAUCCCUUUUUGAUGAACUUGAUAAUUGCUAUGCUUGUGGCCAUGAUGCCAAUAUGAAUUAUGCUUAUGGAGAUGAACUUGAUAUAGUUCCUUAUGUUAAACAUGAAAUUUUUGCUAUUGCACCCACACAUGAUAGUCCUAUUAUCUUUUUGAAUUCUCCCAACUACACUAUAUCGGAUAAGUUUGCGUUUAUUAAGGAUUGUAUUGAUGGGUUGCGUUUUACUAUUGCACAUGAUGAUUUUGAUAAAUAUAAUAUGCAUGUGCUUGCUGCUCCUACUUGCAAUUAUUAUGAGAGAGGAACUACAUCUCCACCUCUCUAUGUUUCCAAUACAAUAAAAUUGCAAGAAACUGUUUAUACUAUGCACUGGCCUUUACUUUGUGUGCAUGAAUUGUUCUUUUAUGACAUGCCGAUGCAUAGGAAGAGAGUUAGAUUUUGAUGUUUCAUGCUAUAUGUUACUUUGCGCUCACUACUAAAUCACAAAUUAUUUUUAAUUAAAAUUGAAUUUGAUAUACCUUGGGAUCCGGAUGGAUCCAUUACUUGAGCACUUUAUGCCUAGCUUAAUGGCUUUAAAGAAAGCGCUGCUAGGGAGACAACCCGAAUGUUUAGAGAGUCAUUUAUUUCUGUUAAGUUCUUUUAAAUAGUUUUAAAACAAAAAAAUAUAAGGAAGGGAACCUAAAACUUUUUCAAAAAGAAAAGUGAAAGUGAGAAAGACGAGCAUUGUUAAAAUGGGAGCUAGCCUUGAACUUUGUGAAGGAAAUAUGCCCUAGAGGCAAUAAUAAAGUUGUUAUUUAUAUUUCCUUAUAUCAUGAUGAAUGUUUAUUAUUCAUGCUAGAAUUGUAUUAACCGGAAACUUAGUACAUGUGUGAAUACAUAGACAAACAGAGUGUCACUAGUAUGCCUCUACUUAACUAGCUCAUUGAAUCAAUGAUGGUUAUGUUUCCUGACCAUAGACAUGAGUUGUCAUUUGAUUAAAGGGAUCACAUCAUUAGAGAAUGAUGUGAUUGACUUGACCCAUCCGUUAGCUUAGCAUGAUGAUAGUUUAGUUUGUUGCUAUUGCUUUCUCCAUAACUUAUACAUGUUCCUAUGACUAUGAGAUCAUGCAACUCCCGAAUACCGGAGGAACACUUAGUGUGCUAUCAAACGUCACAACGUAACUGCGUGAUAAUAAAGAUGCUCUACAGGUGUCUCCGAUGGUGUUUGUUGAGUUGGCAUAGAUCGAGAUUAUGAUUUGUCACUCUGAGUAUCGGAGAGGUAUCAAUGGCCCUCUCAGUAAUGCACAUCACUAUAAGCCUUGCAAGCAAUGUGACUAAUGAGUUAGUUGCAUGAUGAUGCAUUACAGAAUGAGUAAAGAUACUUGAUGGUAACAAGAUUGAACUAGGUAUUGAGAUACCGACGAUCGAAUCUCGGGAAAGUAACAUACCGAUGACAAAGGGAACAACGUAUGUUGUUGUUGUGUGGUUUGACCGAUGAAGAUCUUCGUAGAAUAUGUAGGAACCAAUAUGAGCAUCCGGGUUCAGCUAUUGGUUAUUGACCGGAGAUGAGUCUCGGUCAUGUCUACAUAGUUCUCGAACGAGUAGGGUGCGCACGCUUAAUGUUCGGUGACGAUCGGUAUUGUGAGUGUAUGUGUUUUGAUGUACCGAAGGUAGUUCAGAGUCCCGGAUAUGAUCACAGACAUGACAAGGAGUCUCGAAGUGGUCGAGACGUAAUGAUCGAUAUAUUCAAAGCCUAUGUUUGGACAUCGGAAUAGUUCUGGAUGAGUUCGGGCAUCUUCCGGAGUACCGGGAGGUUACCGAAACACUCGGGGAGUAUAUGGGCCUUAUUGGGCCUUAGUGGAAUAGAGGAGAGGAAGGGAAAAGGUGGGAGGCGUGCCCCCUAGCCCAAUCCGAAUUGGGUGGGGGCCGGCCCCCCUUUCCUUUCCCCUCUCCUCCCCUUCUUUCUCUCCUACCCCUACUACUUGGAAGGGGGGAAUCCUACUCCCGGUGGGAGUAGGACUCCCCUAGGGCGCGCCAUAGAGGGCCGGCCCUCCCCCUCCUCCACUCCUUUAUAUACGGGGGAGGGAGGCACCCCCAUAGACACACAAGUUGAUCAUUGUCUUAGCCGUGUGCGGUGCCCCACUCCACCAUAAUCCACCUCGGUCAUAUCGUCGUAGUGCACAAGUAGCUAAAUAUUUUAAUUGAACAUAACAUGAAUUCAAAGUUUUGAAUGACAUUUUUAGUGCGAAUUGAUUUGGUACAGUACACGUUAGGCUUGUCCGGAAAUUUCAACCCGCGCCUUGUUAGCCCGAAAUAUUUAAGAUAUAUCUUUGUCUCGUUGUGCUCCGACAAGUCCCUCCAUCUCAACCUGCACCUUGCUAUUCCAAAAUUACAACCCGCGCGAAAACUCCCACCUCCUGUGAAAUCCCGACACGCGAAAUGCCCGUGAUACCCCUAAACCAAAAGAACCGCCUCAAAUCGGUGGGGGUACUUUCAUAACUUACCCCACAUUUCGGACAAGCGCGUCCCUAAGCCAUGGUUCCCCACUCCCAUUCCAUCCGCCCACCCAUUCGUACACCGAGGCAGGGAAAACCCGUGAAGCCCCACACCCUCCUCUGUUCGCCACCCAGCCGGAGCCUCUUCCCCGACGACAUCGUCCACAACAACACCUCGACGUCCCUCAUCCACCGUACUGGAUGAGGAUCCGUUGUCGAUCUGGUCAUCCCGCCGGUUCAGCCACCCCAUCCUCCACCUCCAAGGAGCUGCCCUGAUGUUCCCCUUGUCUUUCACGCCACCUCCAUUUGUGACACUCUAAAUUUUUUAUUUGGUUUUUAUCAAAAAUUUUGUGGUUUUUGAGGAAAGGCCUUGUCUUAAAUUUUUUCUUUUUCAGAAAAACCUUCCACUUAAAAAAAACUUCCUUUGUCUUGGCAAGGAUUUUAUUUUUUUUCAAACUUUGGUGGUUGAUCUUUUGAAAACUUCUUCUCUGUUGGUUCCCUCUCAAAAUUUAUUUUUGGGAGUUUAAAUUAUUUUUCUUUUAAAAUAAAACUCUAUGAAAAUUUGGGAUUUCCAUAUCUUGGAACCAUCCUUGACUUAGCAUUCUUGCCCAUGUGAUAAAACCUCUCCAAAACCUCCCCUACACCUUGUGAUCAACCCAAGUUCUCUGUCCCAACUAAUCCAAACAAGUUUUGGAUUUUAUUCUAAUUAUUUUCCCUCUCAAAUCAAUUCUGAAAAUUAUUUGGAGCCUUAGUGAUUUUCAAAGCAAGUACUCCUUUUCAUUUGAGUUUUGACCUCACACCAACUCCCCUGGAUAGUCCUUUGUACCCACAACUCAGAACCAUCUUGAUCCACUCCUUCUCUUUUCAAAUUUUUCAAAAUUCAGUCUCUGCAAGUUUGGACCAGAUUUGCCAAAUUUGAUGAAAUUCAUAUCUACACUCCCCCAAAAAUUCCACCAAAAUUCAGGCAACCUAUUUGAGCAAUGAGAAGCCACUCCACCAAGUAUCAGCUCAUGGAAAAAUCCCUACAUGCCUGGAGCAUUCUGUCGAACACCUGAGCUACACUGUUCCUUUGCAAAUUCAGUAAGUUCAGUCUUCAGUGUCGUCUUCGUCCCUCAGUUUCAGUCACGCGGCCACAGUGCCCUUGGCACGUUCCUCGCCGCCUCUUCCUCUUGUCCGAAGCUUCACACGCGUGCGUGGAGCCUUCCUGGCGUCGGUAGCGCGCUGGCCCGCCCUCGCCGGCGUCUUCUGCAGCGUCGGGACCUCCCGUGGCGGCCGACAGGAGACGCACCACGGCAGAACGCCGUUCAGCGCCGCCCAAAGCCCCCUGGCUCUCCGCGUGGCCUCAUGCACGCCAGCGCACGCCCGUGGCACAGCCACCAUGGCCGGCAAGCACGGGACGCGCUCUCCGCCACCGACGGGCCCGCGCCAUCCCCGUUUCGUCGAGCUCACCCUUAACACCCAAACCCCGGCCAGUUUAGCACCAAAACGGACCCAUUGAACCUCCGUGAUGACGCUCGACCCCCUAACCACCCCGACCGAGCACUGCGCCACCGUAAUCACUCGCCGGUGAUCCCCGUUCACGGCAACCGCCUCGGACCGCCUAUAUAAAGGGGCCCCGAGCUCACUCUCGUGCACGCAGCAUCACCAUUCCUCACCAACACCCCGCCAGGCCACUAGGGGGACCUCGAGGAGGUCUCCUCCCCCAGCUCCGGCCGCCUCGCCCCGCCUCGGCCUCCAGCUCGAUUCACUCUGGUGAGGCCAUCUCCGGCGCCCAAACCUCGUCCGUAGCCCUCUUCCACACCUAGCACCCUAACCCCCUUGUCAAUUUGAACCUUGCAGCCCUCUCCGGCGAGCUCCAUCCUCGUCCGAACCACCGUCCGCCGGAGCAGGGGCCGCCGUCGACACAGUGCUCGCCGGCGACCACCACCACCACCAACCGACGCGGAAUGGCGCCCUGAGCACGGAGGUACUCCCCGAUCUCCCUGCCUCGCCGUGGAUCGCCGCCGGCGACCACCGCGGCUCUCGGGCGCCGACGAGCUUCGUCCGCCCCGUUUGAAUGUUUAAACCUGACAAGAGGGACCCCACCGUCAGCCUCUCUGCUCUCUCUUUUGAAUCGUUUUCUGGAAGCGCCUUCGGGCAGAAUGCGUUUUCUCUUUGGGCUGGCGUAGUUUCUGCUGAAGUGUUUUCUGUUUUUAUAAACUAACCCCUGGAAAUCUUCUGUUUCAUUACAGAUGAGUCCCUGGACAAAAACCUUUAUAACUUUUAAACAGAAAAGUAUUUUUGAUUGAUUCUUCUUCUGCUCUCUUUAAAAUUUUGUCUAGUUUUUUAUCAGAUUUAUUUGAAAAUUAUUUGAAGUACUUUCUGUGCACUCCUUGGUAUUUACGAUAGCGCAUAUAUUCUCUUUAUACCGUAGAUACCGAAGGAGGUGACGGAGCCGCGAACUUCACCGAGCUAGGCUCCGACUACUCUGAACCAGGCAAGCAUGUUUGAACUUUUGAUAUGAUGAGUGUCUUGGCAUGUUUUGCAUUUAGUUAGUUUCAUGGCAUGUUGAGUAGCAUAUCGAUGAACGUUAUUUUAUGUGAUAAUGAGGUAAGUGAGUUCGAUGAUCCAUACGUGGAUGAAUGUGAAUAUGAAUGGCCAUGUGUUGGCAUGAGGAUGGGUAAGAUGGCAGUGUUGUAGCAUGCCAGUCUUAUGCCAGACUAUGUGACUUCAGUGUCAAACCGUAUCGGUCCAGUACCUCUCAUUUCCUUCCAUGUACUACCACAUGUUUUCCGCAAGGAAUAUGGUUUAGUAAGUUGCAAACCGCUUUCAUGGUACACACCAAAGAGGAGAGGCCGUGAUGAUGGUUCCAUGGCCCUGGAUUAAAGCCAGUCAUCCGGUCAGGGGGCAUGGGUGUUUCCGGUUGGGACCGAGAGGGGGGCACCCCUUAGAGCGCGCGUAUAUAAAUUUGAUCCCAUGCUAUUCGAGAUUGUGAUCUCCCCAUAUCAAAAGUUUUUCUUGGACGAUGUCUAGGGCGAUUCCUAGCAUCAAGAGGUAAGGAUGGGUGUGUACUGGUUAGCUGUGUUUUCUUCCGAAAUACCGUAAACGGAACUAGUCCUUCGUGACUACGGAAAUCCGUUGGCUGUGGGAAUAAUUUUGUACAAACUCUGCAGAGUCAUAUAUCCCUUCACGUCAUCUAUUCCAUGUCCAAAUUCGUAUUAUCUUGUUCUAACAAUGACAGUGUUGAUGACAGAGACUCCGGUGUUUCGCAUGAGUGCUAAUUCCGGAAAUGAUAUUCCUGUGGAUGGACUAACCCAUUUAUUCUUAUGAAUUAAAAGUUUAUUAUGAUUAUUAUUUAUCUGUCCAUAAAAGCCCCUUCUGUGAUGUCGCCCCGACGUCCGACUGUGGCAUUUCUUUUCAAGCCCUUUCUGUGAUGUCGUCCCGACGUCCGACUGUGGCAUUUCUUUUCAAGCCCUUUCUGUGAUGUCGCCCCGANNNNNNNNNNNNNNNNNNNNNNNNNNNNNNNNNNNNNNNNNNNNNNNNNNNNNNNNNNNNNNNNNNNNNNNNNNNNNNNNNNNNNNNNNNNNNNNNNNNNNNNNNNNNNNNNNNNNNNNNNNNNNNNNNNNNNNNNNNNNNNNNNNNNNNNNNNNNNNNNNNNNNNNNNNNNNNNNNNNNNNNNNNNNNNNNNNNNNNNNNNNNNNNNNNNNNNNNNNNNNNNNNGUCCGACUGUGGCAUUUCUUUUCAAGCCCUUUCUGUGACGUCGCCCCGACGUCCGACUGAGGUAUUUCUUUUUAAGCCCUUUAUGUGGUGUCGCUAAGACGCCCGACUGUGGCAUCUUUUUCUUUAUAAUUAUUUGUUCACCUUUCGGGGUGUCGCUUCAGACACCCGAUCGGAAAUUAUUUCUGUUCUGUUGGGAUUUCAGGCGGACUACCGCCGUUUCCCUUUACUUACCUUGUUAUGAUAAUUUUGAACGUACAUUGGUGAAUUUAUUCAUGUCGCAUCCAUGCAUGCAUUUGUUAUAUCUUACGUCUGAACUGUCUUGCGAGUACUUUCAAAGUACUCACUGGCUUGUUGAUUUGGCCAGAUGCUGACGAAGGCGAUUUCCUGGAUGAAGAGUUCGAUAGCGAGUCCGACACUUAGAGGAGUCCCAGUCAGUCUCGUGCGACCCUGGAUUUGGUCACUGUUUUAUAUCCGCUUCCGCUACCAAAUAAAUUCAUCGAGCCUCACCUCGACGCUCGAUGAGAUGAUAGACUUAGAGUCUUGUAUUUCUCUCCCCGCUGUGUUUUUCCACCACCGCCCUAUCCUCGAGUCAGUAGUAUGUCUCCACACCACUGUGUCAUGUCCGCCAUUAUGUAUAAUUAUUGGCGUGCUUGUAAUGAUUUGGUUGAGCAACCGUAGUUCAACCCUGUAAUAUAUUUUAUGCUACUGGCUUAUUGUAUCAAGAAAUUGUCUACCAGUGAGGAGAAUUUCUCUCAUACUCAAAAGAUUGGUUUCUCAAUAAAUAUUUUUAUUGGAAAACCAGUCGUGACAAGCUUGGUAUCAGAGCCAGGCUGACUGUAGGAAGCCACUAGGUGCGAUCGCUAAUUAGUUAUUAGCAUGAUAGAGCUAAUUUAUAUUUUUGCAAUUGUAGUCAUUUUCUGUCAGUCAGCAUAAAUUUAUGAUCUGACCAUGCAGAAUUUUUGCCUACUUUUGUAGAUGGCCGACAACAGCUGCGAGUCUCAGACCUUCGCCAACGUGCCCGAUGGGUUCGUCAAGCUUCUUUCUUUCAUCGUUCAGGUCGCGAUGGGGCCAUCCGUGCGCCCAGUCUUCACACUCUGCCAGCACCGAGUCAACGACAGUCUGACCAUGCACCAGGCCGCAGUGCAGUUCAAGGGAGGGCAUGGUGAGUUACGCCGCUUCCGGUUCGUGGGAAGAGCCAUGCCUACGGAGAGGCAUGCUAUGCAGAUGGCAGCCCGCGAGGCGAUAGCUCGUCUCAGGGAUGUCCUUCCCGUGAUGAAGACUCGUCGUUACUGUUAUCUUCCGUGCCAUGUGCCAUACACCUGUCACUACGCAUACUCCUGCCCCAGAGGAGAAUGAGACGAGGCUUUUGAGAUGCUCAUUGAGUAUCUCCGGGCCCUGGAGGCAGCCUUCGACAACCUGGUGGACGACUUCGUAGCUACCCGCAUGGACUCAGUCCAUGGCUGUGCCUCCAACAGGAGGGAGCUCCUACCAAUCGCACCGCCACUGACUUUUGUCUCGUCAUCAGCAUCUUUUACGCCUGCUCGUCGCCUGCCUUCUACCGAAGAAUUCAACCAAGUCAUUGCGCCCACUCUAGCGCGCACUGCACCAACCUUCGCGCCCACUCCUGUACGUGUUGCUCCGCCCCUGGCAACCGCUCCGUCCGCUCUGCGCAACACUACACGUAUGGAGCCCAUUAGCGAGGAGGAAGUCGAGUCCCCAACCUCGCUACGCCUCGCCCUCGGCAGGGCAAAGGAGGUCGUCAACAUCUCCGCCUGAGUACGCUUAGCUGCCGUGUAUUGUACCGCUUUGUAAGAUAUGCACAUAGGUUGUGAGAAGUAGCCUGUUUGCGCAUCAUGUAGGAUCUGGAGGAGUGCACUAGCCUAAAUAACAUGUCAGGAUUAUGUACGCAUAUCCUGAGUGAUGUAUUGUAUAAUUACCGCCCGCGUGUAAGAUAUGUAAUGAGCAGUCCUUCUCCGUGCGCAAGUCGAUUUGUUUUUCUUAAGUAAGCCGAGUUAUUUAAUUCUAUUUGCCUGCUUUAUGCAUUUAUGGUUUUGUUUUGCGACUCUUUCCGCUUUUCUUAUGAGUUUUACAAAAUACAUCCCCAGAGUGAAAAAUGUCUCGUCCUUGGACACGCUCCAUGCCAACUCCACCAGAGGAAAAUUAUGAUACACAACCCAACAACGAGUUCACCCAGGGACAGUCAAGCCAACAGGGCAGUGAAUCAGCACUUUCACAAAUGUGCCGCCUUUAUGAGCAGAGUCAGCAACAACAUCGGGAGAUGAUGAACCAAGUCAUCAACAUGGGAAAUCACCAUGGACAGUAUCAACAGCAUUCCAAGUUAUCUGAACUACAGAAGACACGUCCUCAAACAUUUUCUCACACUGACAAGCCUCUUGAAGCCGAGGACUGGCUUCGAGAUAUGGAGAGGAAAUUAAUUAUUGCAAAAUGUUCAGAUCUCGAGAAAGUACUAUAUGCUCCACACUAUCUCACAGGAGCAGCCGCAUCGUGGUGGGAGAAUUUUCUGCACAUGCAUCCCAACGAAAAUAACAUAACCUGGGAUGAUUUCAAGGAAGGUUUCCGUGGUGCACAUAUUCCUAAAAGUAUUAUGAAAAUCAAGAAGAGAGAAUUCGAUGACCUCAAACAAAGGAACAUGACAGUGUCAGAUUACAACAGUCAAUUUACCCUAUUAUCCCGCUACGCCAAUGAGGAACGUAUGACUGAAAUCAAGAAGAUGGAGAAAUUCCUUGACGGUCUGGCACCCGCGCUUAAAUGCCAACUGGUCGUGCACACUUUUCCUGAUUUUAAAACACUGGUGGACAAAGCCAUUACUCUGGAAAAUGAGAGACGCAGUCUGGAAGAUAUCCGCAAGCGAAAAAGGGACCAGACUAAUCACGCUCGCAAUCACCGAAGCAAGACAGAUUUUCAAAAGGGUGGGACACACAAAUUCUCAUCCAAUGCCUCACGCCCAAUCAAGAAUUUUCAUGCAAGGGACAAGGAAUUCACCUAUCGCCCCGGCGUUACUUGUUACGCUUGUGGAGAAGAAGGGCACUAUGCCAAACAGUGCCCCAAGCCAAGGAGUUCAACCCCAAAGCCGAACAACGGCGGCAAUAAUUCAGCACCCAAGCGAAACAAUUUCAAUCCCAACAAUAACCACAGGAAGGGUCAUCUGAACCACGUAACCAAAGAGGAGGCACAAAAUGCUCCGGAUAUCGUACUCGGUACGUUUCCUGUCAACACAAUACCUGCAAUGGUUUUGUUUGAUUCUGCAGCUUCUCACUCUUUCAUUUCGAAAAGUUUUGCUUUGCAAAAUAAGUUUUCGAUACUUCCUUUGGAGAAAUCCAUGAUCAUCAAGUCCCCUGGGAUUCAGCAAGUUUCUCAGAAUUACUGUCAGAAUGUGGUCAUUGAGUUCGAAGGAUUGGAGUUUCACGCAAAUCUUAUCGUAUUGGAAAACAAAGGACUGGAUGUCAUCCUAGGGAUGAAUUGGCUAACCACCAAUAAAGGUUUCAUCGACUGUUUCAACAGGACCGUGAUUCUCACACACCACCAAGGGAAGACAAUAAGAGUAUCAGCCAAGGAAGGAAAAAGACCCCGGCAAUCGAGACUAAAUAAGGUGGACGUUUCUGAGCUGAACAAGGUUCCAGUAGUGUGUGAAUUUCCAGAUGUAUCCCUUGAAGAGCUGCCAGGCAUGCCACCAGACCGAGAAAUAGAAUUCCGCAUUGAGCUAGCGCCAGGAACCGCUCCCAUAUACAAGAAACCAUACAGAAUGGCACCAUCCGAGUUGGUCUAGUUGAAGAAGCAAAUAAAGGAAUUACUGGAAAAAGGAUACAUUCGAGCCAGCUCCUCACCUUGGGGGUCACCAAUUUUAUUUGCCAAAAAGAAGGAUGGAACGCUGAGAUUGUGUAUUGACUAUCGAGCACUUAACAUGGUCACAGUCAAAAACAAAUACCCGAUGCCAAGGAUAAAUGAUUUAUUUGAUCAGCUCGCUCAGGCCAAGGUAUUCUCAAAAAUUGACUUAAGGUCAGGAUACCAUCAAUUGAAGGUACGAACGGAAGAUAUCCCCAAAACGGCCUUCACCUCCAGAUAUGGACUGUACGAGUUCACAGUGAUGCCAUUUGGAUUAACUAACGCCCCAACAUAUUUUGUUCACCUCAUGAACAAAGUAUUUAUGAAGUUUAUGGACAAGUUCGUCGUGGUAUUCAUCGACGAUAUUCUGGUAUACUCUAAGACACCAGAAGAGCACGCAGAACAUCUCAGGAUUGUGCUAGGAGAGCUAAGAAAACACCAAUUGUAUGCCAAGUUCAGCAAGUGCGAAUUUUGGCUAAGACAAGUAGGUUUUCUAGGCCACGUGCUGACUCAAGACGGUAUCGCAGUGGACCCAGAGAAAGUUAAGGCCGUACUUGACUGGAAAUCACCAGCCAGCGUAACGGACAUACGGAGUUUCUUGGGAAUGGCAGGAUAUUACCGCAUAUUUAUUGAAGGAUUUUCCACCAUAGCCAAGCCUAUGACACAGUUGCUCAAGAAAGAUAAGAAGUUUGAGUGGACAGAAGCCUGCGAGAAAAGUUUCCAAGAGCUAAAGCGGAAAUUAACAACAACACCGGUAUUAAUUGUACCCGACAUACACAAGAAUUUUGAAGUAUAUUGUGACGCGUCCAGAAAGGGUCUCGGAUGCAUGUUGAUGCAAGAAGGCAAGGUUGUCGCCUACGCUUCAAGGCAACUUCGCAAGCAUGAGGAAAAUUAUCCCACUCAUGACUUAGAAAUGGCAGUAGUUAUUCAUGCACUCAAGGAAUGGAGGCAUUUCUUACUUGGGAAUCGAUGUGAAAUAUAUACGGACCACAAAAGUCUCAAAUAUAUUUUCACGCAGCCAGAACUAAAUUUACGGCAACGACGCUGGUUGGAACUGGUAAAGGAUUAUGAUGUUGGGAUCCAUUACCAUCCAGGGAAAGCAAAUGUAGUGGCCGAUGCCCUGAGUCGGAACCCCAGCUCCGACGGGAACUAUCUGCACAGCUUGAGGGCCGAAUUCCAUCAAGAAUUUGCCAAGCUCAACUUGAUAAUGGUAGCAGAAGGCACCAUAUCAAACUUGGUAAUACAACCCAACCUUGUGAAGAAAAUUAAAGAAGCUCAGCCCGGUCACCCCAGCAUUGAAGGAAUUAAAAGAAAGUUGAGUAUGGGCAAAGCCUCGGAAUUCGUCAUCGACAAUGAAGGAAUAUUAUGGUACGGAGAAAGGCUAUGCGUGCCAAACAUAGAAGACCUUAAACAGCAAGUUUUAGCUGAAGCACACACCACUCCAUAUUCGAUCCACCCUGGAGGAACCAAAAUGUAUAAGGAUAUUCAGGAAAGAUUUUGGUGGCACGGUAUGAAGAGGGACAUAGCCGCCUUCAUUGCAUGUUGCGACUCAUGUCAACGCAUAAAAGCUGAACAUCAGAGACCAGCCGGACUACUGCAACCAAACAAAAUACCUGAGUGGAAAUGUGACGAAAUAGGGAUGGAUUUUAUUGUCGGACUACCUCGGUCACGACACGGGAAUGAUGCCAUAUGGGUCAUCACUGACAGGUUGACCAAAGUGGCACACUUUAUUCCAGUGAAGACAACCUACACCACUCAGAGGCUUGCCAGGAUUUAUCUUUCCCGCAUAGUUUGUCUGCACGGUGUCCCGAAGACUAUAAUAUCCGACAGAGGCACUCAGUUUGUCUCAAGAUUUUGGGAGCAUUUACAACAGGCUCUGGGAACCCAACUAGCCUUCAGUACCGCAUACCACCCACAGACUGAUGGGCAGACUGAACGCGUAAACCAAAUUUUAGAAGACAUGCUGAGAGCAUGUGUCCUCACAUAUGGAACCAGUUGGGAAGAAAGCCUGCCAUACGCCGAGUUCGCGUAUAACAAUAGCUACCAGGCCAGCCUACAAAUGGCACCAUUUGAGGCUUUGUACGGACGGAGAUGUCGUACCCCGUUAAAUUGGUCAGAGACCGGAGACAGCCGCAUCUUCGGACCAGACAUGCUCAGAGAAGCCGAGGAAAAGGUCAAGCUAAUCAGAGACCGACUUAAGACCGCUCAAAGUCGACAGAAGAGUUAUUAUGAUCAGAAACAUCGUAGGGUCAGCUUCAAACCCGGUGAGUUCGUAUACCUGAGAGUAUCCCCUAUGAGAGGAUUGCAACGAUUCAGGAUAAAAGGGAAGUUAGCACCAAGAUUCAUUGGACCAUUUUGCAUAGUGGCACGAAGAGGCACUGUAGCCUACCAGCUAGACUUACCCGAGGAAUUAUCCGAUGUCCACGACGUGUUCCAUGUCUCGCAAUUGAGGAAGUACGUACGCAACCCAGAGAAACAAGUAUCCCAUGAAAACAUUGAUGUGCAGCCAGACCUCACUUAUCGAGAACGUCCCGUAAGAAUAUUAGAGGAAUCUAAAAGGAGGACCCGACAGAAGACCAUCAAGUUUUUCAAAGUCCAGUGGAGCAAUCACACCGACAGUGAAGCAACUUGGGAAAGCGAGGAUUUUCUUCGGACUGAGCAUCCACACCUAUUUAAGGAUCAGCUGAAAUCUCGGGGACGAGAUUUUUCCUAAGGGGGUAGGUGUCGUGACACUCUAAAAUUUUUAUUUGGUUUUUAUCAAAAAUUUUGUGGUUUUUGAGGAAAGGCCUUGUCUUAAAAUUUUUCUUUUUCAGAAAAACCUUCCACUUAAAAAAAACUUCCUUUGCCUUGGCAAGGAUUUUAUUUUUUUUCAAACUUUGGUGGUUGAUCUUUUGAAAACUUCUUCUCUGUUGGUUCCCUCUCAAAAUUUAUUUUUGGGAGUUUAAAUUAUUUUUCUUUUAAAAUAAAACUCUAUGAAAAUUUGGGAUUUCCAUAUCUUGGAACCAUCCUUGACUUAGCAUUCUUGCCCAUGUGAUAAAACCUCUCCAAAACCUCCCCUACACCUUGUGAUCAACCCAAGUUCUUUGUCCCAACUAAUCCAAACAAGUUUUGGAUUUUAUUCUAAUUAUUUUCCCUCUCAAAUCAAUUCUGAAAAUUAUUUGGAGCCUUAGUGAUUUUCAAAGCAAGUACUCCUUUUCAUUUGAGUUUUGACCUCACACCAACUCCCCUGGAUAGUCCUUUGUACCCACAACUCAGAACCAUCUUGAUCCACUCCUUCUCUUUUCAAAUUUUUCAAAAUUCAGUCUCUGCAAGUUUGGACCAGAUUUGCCAAAUUUGAUGAAAUUCAUAUCUACACUCCCCCAAAAAUUCCACCAAAAUUCAGGCAACCUAUUUGAGCAAUGAGAAGCCACUCCACCAAGUAUCAGCUCAUGGAAAAAUCCCUACAUGCCUGGAGCAUUCUGUCGAACACCUGAGCUACACUGUUCCUUUGCAAAUUCAGUAAGUUCAGUCUUCAGUGUCGUCUUCGUCCGUCAGUUUCAGUCACGCGGCCACAGUGCCCUUGGCACGUUCCUCGCCGCCUCUUCCUCUUGUCCGAAGCUUCACACGCGUGCGUGGAGCCUUCCUGGCGUUGGUAGCACGCUGGCCCGCCCUCGCCGGCGUCUUCUGCAGCGUCGAGACCUCCCGUGGCGGCCGACAGGAGACACACCACGGCAGAACGCCGUUCAGCGCCGCCCAAAGCCCCCUGGCUCUCCGCGUGGCCUCAUGCACGCCAGCGCACGCCCGUGGCACAGCCACCGUGGCCGGCAAGCACGGGACGCGCUCUCCGCCACCGACGGGCCCGCGCCAUCCCCGUUCCGUCGAGCUCGCCCUUAACACCCAAACCCCGGCCAGUUUAGCACCAAAACGGACCCAUUGAACCUCCGUGAUGACGCUCGACCCCCUAACCACCCCGACCGAGCACUGCGCCACCGUAAUCACUCGCCGGUGAUCCCCGUUCACGGCAACCGCCUCGGACCGCCUAUAUAAAGGGGCCCCGAGCUCACUCUCGUGCACGCAGCAUCACCAUUCCUCACCAACACCCCGCCAGGCCACUAGGGGGACCUCGAGGAGGUCUCCUCCCCCAGCUCCGGCCGCCUCGCCCCGCCUCGGCCUCCAGCUCGAUUCACUCUGGUGAGGCCAUCUCCGGCGCCCAAACCUCGUCCGUAGCCCUCUUCCACACCUAGCACCCUAACCCCCUUGUCAAUUUGAACCUUGCAGCCCUCUCCGGCGAGCUCCAUCCUCGUCCGAACCACCGUCCGCCGGAGCAGGGGCCGCCGUCGACACAGUGCUCGCCGGCGACCACCACCACCACCAACCGACGCGGAAUGGCGCCCUGAGCACGGAGGUACUCCCCGAUCUCCCUGCCUCGCCGUGGAUCACCGCCGGCGACCACCGCGGCUCUCGGGCGCCGACGAGCUUCGUCCGCCCCGUUUGAAUGUUUAAACCUGACAAGACGGACCCCACCGUCAGCCUCUCUGCUCUCUCUUUUGAAUCGUUUUCUGGAAGCGCCUUCGGGCAGAAUGCGUUUUCUCUUUGGGCUGGCGUAGUUUCUGCUGAAGCGUUUUCUGUUUUUAUAAACUAACCCCUGGAAAUCUUCUGUUUCAUUACAGAUGAGUCCCUGGACAAAAACCUUUAUAACUUUUAAACAGAAAAGUAUUUUUGAUUGAUUCUUCUUCUGCUCUCUUUAAAAUUUUGUCUAGUUUUUUAUCAGAUUUAUUUGAAAAUUAUUUGAAGUACUUUCUGUGCACUCCUUGGUAUUUACGAUAGCGCAUAUAUUCUCUUUAUACCGUAGAUACCGAAGGAGGUGACGGAGCCGCGAACUUCACCGAGCUAGGCUCCGACUACUCUGAACCAGGCAAGCAUGUUUGAACUUUUGAUAUGAUGAGUGUCUUGGCACGUUUUGCAUUUAGUUAGUUUCAUGGCAUGUUGAGUAGCAUAUCGAUGAACGUUAUUUUAUGUGAUAAUGAGGUAAGUGAGUUCGAUGAUCCAUACGUGGAUGAAUGUGAAUAUGAAUGGCCAUGUGUUGGCAUGAGGAUGGGUAAGAUGGCAGUGUUGUAGCAUGCCAGUCUUACGCCAGACUAUGUGACUUCAGUGUCAAACCGUAUCGGUCCAGUACCUCUCAUUUCCUUCCAUGUACUACCACAUGUUUUCCGCAAGGAAUAUGGUUUAGUAAGUUGCAAACCGCUUUCAUGGUACACACCAAAGAGGAGAGGCCGUGAUGAUGGUUCCAUGGCCCUGGAUUAAAGCCAGUCAUCCAGUCAGCGGGCAUGGGUGUUUCCGGUUGGGACCGAGAGGGGGGCACCCCUUAGAGCGCGCGUAUAUAAAUUUGAUCCCAUGCUAUUCGAGAUUGUGAUCUCCCCGUCUCAAAAGUUUUUCUUGGACGAUGUCUAGGGUGAUUCCUAGCAUCGAGAGGUAAGGAUGGGUGUGUACUGGUUAGCUGUGUUUUCUUCCGAAAUACCGUAAACGGAACUAGUCCUUCGUGACUACGGAAAUCCGUUGGCUGUGGGAAUAAUUUUGUACAAACUCUGCAGAGUCAUAUAUCCCUUCACGUCAUCUAUUCCAUGUCCAAAUUCGUAUUAUCUUGUUCUAACAAUGACAGUGUUGAUGACAGAGACUCCGGUGUUUCGCAUGAGUGCUAAUUCCGGAAAUGAUAUUCCUGUGGAUGGACUAACCCAUUUAUUCUUAUGAAUUAAAAGUUUAUUAUGAUUAUUAUUUAUCUGUCCAUAAAAGCCCCUUCUGUGAUGUCGCCCCGACGUCCGACUGUGGCAUUUCUUUUCAAGCCCUUUCUGUGAUGUCGCCCCGAUGUCCGACUGUGGCAUUUCUUUUCAAGCCCUUUCUGUGAUGUCGCCCCGACGUCCGACUGUGGCAUUUCUUUUCAAGCCCUUUCUGUGAUGUCGCCCCGACGUCCGACUGUGGCAUUUCUUUUCAAGCCCUUUCUGUGACGUCGCCCCGACGUCCGACUGAGGUAUUUAUUUUUAAGCCCUUUAUGUGGUGUCGCUAAGACGCCCGACUGUGGCAUCUUUUUCUUUAUAAUUAUUUGUUCACCUUUCGGGGUGUCGCUUCAGACACCCGAUCGGAAAUUAUUUCUGUUCUGUUGGGAUUUCAGGCGGACUACCGCCGUUUCCCUUUUACUUACCUUGUUAUGAUAAUUUUGAACGUACAUUGGUGAAUUUAUUCAUGUCGCAUCCAUGCAUGCAUUUGUUAUAUCUUACGUCCGAACUGUCUUGCGAGUACGUUCAAAGUACUCACUGGCUUGUUGAUUUGGCCAGAUGCUGACGAAGGCGAUUUCCUGGAUGAAGAGUUCGAUAGCGAGUCCGACACUUAGAGGAGUCCCAGUCAGUCUCGUGCGACCCUGGAUUUGGUCACUGUUUUAUAUCCGCUUCCGCUACCAGAUAAAUUCAUCGAGCCUCACCUCGACGCUCGAUGAGAUGAUAGACUUAGAGUCUUGUAUUUCUCUCCGCGCUGUGUUUUUCCACCACCGCCCUAUCCUCGAGUCAGUAGUAUGUCUCCACACCACUGUGUCAUGUCCGCCAUUAUGUAUAAUUAUUGGCGUGCUUGUAAUGAUUUGGUUGAGCAACCGUAGUUCAACCCUGUAAUAUAUUUUAUGCUACUGGCUUAUUGUAUCAAGAAAUUGUCUACCAGUGAGGAGAAUUUCUCUCAUACUGGACUCAAAAGAUUGGUUUCUCAAUAAAUAUUUUUAUUGGAAAACCGGUCGUGACACCAUUCCCACACCGCCGUCUUCACCUGCACCACCGGAAGAGCAUCAUCAUCACGUUUCCUCGGAUGAAGCUGCGGCCUAAUCGGCGCCACCAAAGAGGUUGUACACUAAUCGCCGCAUUUUCUUCUUGAUUCGAUCUCUCGGUGCUGCCGGCGCUCAGUCCCGAGCCGACACGGCGCGGCUCCAUCAACGGCGGCGUCGCCGACCACUUCCUCCACGGUGUCGCUCCCUCGGCGGCGGCGCCCACAUCAGUAGGCGCUGCUGCUGCUUUAGCUCUCACUCGCGCCGCUGCUCUGCUCUUGCUCUCGGUCCUCUGCCUGGUCUGCUCUUGCUCUUGCUCUUGCUCGCGCUGCUGCUCUCGCUCUUGCUCUUGCUUGCGAUGCUGCUUUGAUUUAGCUACACUUCAAUCGACUGAAUCGACUUUUGGGUCAGNNNNNNNNNNNNNNNNNNNNNNNNNNNNNNNNNNNNNNNNNNNNNNNNNNNNNNNNNNNNNNNNNNNNNNNNNNNNNNNNNNNNNNNNNNNNNNNNNNNNNNNNNNNNNNNNNNNNNNNNNNNNNNNNNNNNNNNNNNNNNNNNNNNNNNNNNNNNNNNNNNNNNNNNNNNNNNNNNNNNNNNNNNNNNNNNNNNNNNNNNNNNNNNNNNNNNNNNNNNNNNNNNNNNNNNNNNNNNNNNNNNNNNNNNNNNNNNNNNNNNNNNNNNNNNNNNNNNNNNNNNNNNNNNNNNNNNNNNNNNNNNNNNNNNNNNNNNNNNNNNNNNNNNNNNNNNNNNNNNNNNNNNNNNNNNNNNNNNNNNNNNNNNNNNNNNNNNNNNNNNNNNNNNNNNNNNNNNNNNNNNNNNNNNNNNNNNNNNNNNNNNNNNNNNNNNNNNNNNNNNNNNNNNNNNNNNNNNNNNNNNNNNNNNNNNNNNNNNNNNNNNNNNNNNNNNNNNNNNNNNNNNNNNNNNNNNNNNNNNNNNNNNUGUUUUCGAGGCGGGUGGGGCGGCGCGCCGCCGGCCGCAGGCGGCGGGGGGCGGCUGUUUGGCCGGUGGUGGCUGGCGGCUCAUGGGGUGGAGGUUGAAGAUGAACUGCAGGCCCUUGAUUUUGUAUCCAACGGCUGCAAAAUCGACUGACCAGAGAUGAAAAAGUCAGUCGACUGACGUGUAGCCUCACCUGUAGUGCAUUCAGUUUUGACAGUAAAAUUCAGUUUCGAUAGCAAAAUUCAGUUUUGAUAGUUAAGUUCAGUUUCGGCAGUUAAAUUCAGUUUCGACAGUUAAGUUCAGAGAUGAGCGGCUGAUGUAUACAUCUAGCACUUUGUGGUUAUGUAUUUUAUGUCAUCUAUUGGAGAUGCUAUUAGAAUUCCACUCAGGUUAACGUUGUCUCUCUUGUCCUGCUUCAGCCUCGGCGUCGUACAACUCAUCGGAGCUGCUCCAACGACGAAACCCUCCAUCACAGCAGAGCAGUACCUCGGGCUCCAUCUCCAGACGCCUAAGAUCUUCUUCCCCUCCUCCGACAGCCAAGUCAGCUGGAGCAUCCUCAUCGUCCAACCCAAUCAUGCUGAGAUCGACAUGGCUUCGCCAAAGAGGUUGUACACUUGUUGCAUAUCUUUUUUACUCUACAUGUUAUAUAUAUUGUCCACUGAGCACACGGAGUAACGGGGAAUACGAUCAUUUUAUCCUACUAUAUGACAAGCAGUGAGGUACCAGGCAACUUAGCUAUCCGUGAUGGACUCUCUUGAACGCCAUCAUUAUUUAUCUUUGCGCGUUUGAGCUGUGCAUUUGUCGAUGGCCCUGGGAGUUGAGCUAGUAGGGCAGUGGCCUGGGUCCAAAGUAAUAGAAGUAGCACAAAAACAUUUUUUUAGUGUAGGCUUUUCCUUGCUCAAGCCUGCCUACUGGAAUCGCCAGUGCUUGAAAGGAAAAGUGAAUGAAAAACCUAGGAAUUGGAAAGUUUCAUAUGGUACUACUUUUCAUGAAUUUGGUGCAAAGGAAUGGAGCAAAGGAAAACUGUAGGAUUUGUUCCUUUAGUGUCUCCUUGAAAGAAAAACCAUAUGAAUUUUAAUUUCCACUUGUCUUCCUUUUCAAAUUCCUAUUCAUGAAGCACAAGACUAAGAGAUAGUAGCAUAAUAGCAUUAUAACCGUACAUUUUCUUGUAGUUUAUCUUAAUCUCACCAUGCUUCUUUGCAUCCUAUGAUCUUCCAAUUUUUGUGAACGAAACACCCAGAUUGGCAGAAAUCCUCUGUUUUAAAAUUCUCUGUUUUGCACGUGCAUUCCUAUCCUAGUCCUGUCUAUUUCCUAUCCCUGCAUUGUUAGAAUCCUCAAAUUCAAACAAGCCCUUACACAAUUAAUUCUAUUACAGAUAUGUGUCAAAGAAAACCUUGUGUGGUUUGUCCUGCUCCUGCGGUGAUGUGUUCCACCCCAGCUCAGCUGCUCCAAAGAUGGAAGGGUUCACCACAGCAGGGAUCCGCUCUCCAGACUGUCUUUCGCCGCCUCAGAUCUUCUUCCCCGCCGUCGGCAGCCAUGACAACUGCAUUACCAUCAUCAACUGAGUAGAUGACCUUGACGACUACAUGGGUCCGCAAGAGAGGUCGCACUCUUCCUUGUCUGCUUACGUUAUGCAUCGCUUAAUAUGAUGACAUGCUACUUUAUCAUCGUGUUCACCUAUUAGACUCCGAGUCAGGUCCAAACUUAUGCUGAAACUUGAGUUUUUAAAUGGUUGUGGGGUACAUAUUGGGGCAGCAAUCAGUACUAUCUGUCUACUAUCUGGUUAAUCUCGGGUGUCUACUAUGAGUUUCAUGUUGGGUGCAAACAAACAUUAAAGGAGCCAUUAUCUGUAUUUUUUUAACUAAAGCUAUUAUCUGCCUGCUAUCAUUGGUUUUGGGUCUAUCCACAGUUUGCUACCAUCACUCUGGAUUUGUGCAUGCACUCCUUACAUAAUCUCACUAUGUUUUAUUCCUAUGCAUGUCAGUUAUUGUACACAAUGGAACUAAGCAUGUAGAGCAAAAGAUACGAGCCUUGUGUGGCAAUAAAAUUUCAUGCAAACGUCGCUCCAUGGUUGGUGAGGGAGUCCUGGAUUAGGGGGUCUCCGGACAGCCGGACUAUCUCCAUUAGCCGGACUGUUAGACUAUGAAGAUACAAGAUUGAAGACUUCGUCUCGUGUCCGGAUGGGACUCUACUUGGCGUGGAAGGCAAGCUAGGCAAUACGUAUAUGGAUACCUCCUCCUUUGUAACCGACCUUGUGUAACCCUAACCCUCUCCGGUGUUUAUAUAAACCGAAGGGUUUUAGUUCGUAGGACAACAAUCACAACAUACAAUCAUACCAUAGGCUAGCUUCUAGGGUUUAGCCUCUCUGAUCUCGUGGUAGAUCUACUCUUGUACUACCCAUAUCAUCAAUAUUAAUCAAGCAGGACGUAGGGUUUUACCUCCAUCAAGAGGGCCCGAACUUGGGUAAAACUUCGUGUCCCCUGCCUCCUGUUACCGUCCGGCCUAGACGCACAAUUCGGGACCCCCUACCUGAGAUCUGCCGGUUUUGACACCGACAUUGGUGCUUUCAUUGAGAGUUCCUCCGUGUCGUCGCCGUUAGGCUUGAUGGCUCCUACUAUCAUCGAUAGCAAUGCGGUCCAGGGUGAGACUUUUCUCCCCGGACAGACCUUCGUAUUCGGCGGCUUUGCACUGCGGGCUAAUUCGCUUGGCCAUCUGGAGCAGAUUGAAAGCUACGCCCCUGGCCAUCAGGUCAGAUUUGGUAGUUUGAACUACACGGCCGACAUCCGCGGAGACUUGAUCUUCGACGGAUUCGAGCCACAGUCGGGCGCGCCGCACUGUCGCGAUGGGUAUGACCUAGCUCUGCCGCCGAACAGUAACCCAGAAGUCGCGCCCGCAUCAGCUCCGACCCUUAGUUCGGAGCCAACUACGCCAAUCAAGGAUGGGUGGUUAGACACCGCCUCAGGGGCUGCAGUCUCAAUGGCGAUCGAGCUGAACACCAGCAUAACCCUCUGCGCAGCCCGUGACUCCAAGGUGCCAGACUCUCUUUCUGACCCCGAAUCGCCCGCGCCCCUGCCAAUCGAAUCCGAUUGGGCGCCGAUCAUGGAAUUCACCGCCGCGGAUAUCUUUCAGCACUCGCCCUUCGGCGACAUUCUGAAUUCACUAAGGUCUCUCUCUCUUUGUCAGGAGAGCCCUGGCCGGAUUACGACCAACAGGAUUGGGAUGCGGACGACGAAAGAAUUCGACGCCCACCCACCACCCACUUAAUAGCCACUAUUGAUGACUCAACCGACAUGCUCGACUUUGACUCUGAAGACAUCGACGGUAUGGACGACGAUGCGGGAGGCAAAAAGGAACCACCGCCCAUGGGGCGCUGGACGUCCACUUCAUCAUAUGAUGUAUACAUGGUGGACACACCAAAAGACGACGACGACGAGGAACGGGAGGACACACCGAAGGCUUGUUCCCUCGAGAAGCAGUCAAAGCGGCGCGCCGCCCCAAAUGCCGCCUCUGCAGAAAUAAUGAUCAUACAGACCCAGCAUUGGAGCAGGGCGAACCACGGCCGGACCACGGCAAUACGGAGAAUCAAACCGAACAAACCAAUUCUGUCAAAGAUAAUAGUCCGGACGACAUAAUGCUGGACAGGCACCCGGAGCAGCAGAAUGCCCGUCAAAGGCUUGUUGCCACCGCGAGGAGUCUAAAAAAGCAGAAGCAAAGGCUCAAGGCUGCGCAAGACACACUCCAAAUCAGAUGGAGUAAAGUACUCAACACAGCAGCGUGGUACGGCGACAAUCGCCCCACCAAGAGCUACCCAAAGCGGAAGUUGCUACCUGAAUUCGAUGAGGAGGCCUCAGACCCCCCACAACCAAAAAUCAAAACAGCCACCUGGCCAGAUAGACGACCUCACGGCCAACAUCGAGCGGCAAACAACGCCACUCACAAGCCAAUACGCGAUCCACGCGAGGGCUCGCACCAAAAGAACGGCGCAACCAGAUCCAUCUAUGGACCAUGCAAGCGCGCCCCAGCAUACAACAUAACACAACAAGCAUCCGAACAACGCGGUACACCCAGAUACAGGGGUGCCGCACACCCCCUAUGUUUCACCGAUGAGGUGCUGGACCAUGAAUUUCCAGAGGGAUUCAAACCCGUAAACAUAGAGGCAUACGAUGAAACAAUAGACCCUGGGGUCUGGAUUGAGGAUUAUAUCCUCCAUAUCCAUAUGGCUCGAGGAUAUGAUCUCCAUGCCAUCAAGUACUUACCCCUCAAGCUCAAAGGGCCAGCUCGUCACUGGCUUAAAGGCCUCCCCGAAAACUCCAUUGGAAGCUGGGAAGAGCUCGAAGACGCUUUUCGGGCAAAUUUUCAAGGGACUUAUGUCCGACCUCCGGAUGCGGACGAUUUGAGUCAUAUAACUCAACAGCCCGGAGAGUCAGCCCAAAAACUUUGGAAUAGGUUUCUUACUAAAAAGAACCAAAUUGUCGACUGUCCGGACGCCGAAGCCUUGGUAGCUUUUAAGCAUAGCAUCCGUGACGAAUGGCUCGCCAGACACCUCGGCCAAGAAAAGCCGAGAACAAUGGCAGCAUUAACAAGCCUCAUGACCCGCUUUUGCGCGGGUGAGGACAGCCGGCUAACCAGAAGCAGCACCAGCGACCCCAGUACAUCUGAAGUUAGAGAUGGAAACGGGAAAUCACGGCGCAACAGCAGUAACAAACGCCGGAAUAAAGAAGACAUCACGAAGAGCACGACAGUAAACGCCGGAUUCAAAAGCUCUCGGCCAGGUCAGCAAAAGCCGCCCUCUAUAGGCGCCAGAGACGAACUGUCUAGCCUAAACAAAAUUCUGGACCAAAUAUGUCAGAUCCAUAGCACUCCUGGUAAACCUGCUAAUCAUACCCACAGAGAAUGUUGGGUCUUCAAGCAGUCUGGUAAGCUCAACGCCGUACACAAGGGGGAGGAUACACCAAGCGAAGACGAGGAUGAGCCUCUCAAGCAAGACACUGGGGAGCAAAAGAAAUUCCCACCAGAAGUCAAAACAGUAAACGUGUUACACAUGAUCAAGGGAAGAAACAAAAUGGCACUCCCAGAAAAAUAUGCCCAAGUACCUAUCACCGCGGAGUCCUGCCACUGGUCGUCUCAACCGAUCACUUUCGACCAUCGUGAUUACUCAGCAAGUAUCCGGCGUAUAGGAUGGGCUGCCCUGGUAUUAGACCCAAUAAUUGACGGAUAUCACUUCACACGAGUCCUGAUGGAUGAUGGCAGCAGUCUAAACCUGAUAUAUCAGGAUACAAUCUGCGAAAUGGGGAUAAACCCAACAAAAAUUUGCCAUAGCAAUACUACCUUUAAAGGAGUAACGCUAGGCCCAGGGGCUCAUUGCACGGGCUCCCUGCUACUAAAAGUUAUAUUCGGCUCCCCCGAUAACUUCCGUAGCGAACAUUUAACCUUCCACAUCGCUCUGUUCCAAAGUGGCUAUCAAGCACUACUCGGACGCAAAGCUUUCGCUCGCUUUAAUGAAAUACCGCACUAUGCUUCCCUCACACUCAAGAUGCCCGGUCCACGUGGCAUGAUUACAGUAAACAGAAGUAUUAAGCGAUCUUUGCGCGCCGAAGAGAGUGCGGCUGCCUUGGCAGCCGCACACUAAAAACGGCCUCACCAACUAAAGCAUUUAACAGGUCGUCAAGACCUCAGACACGGUUAGACGAGUCCGGCACAGCUAUAUGUAAUUCAUACCGGAUCAAUGGUCACACCCCUAUACAAGGGGCUCAACGCGCGCAGACAAGUGGCAAUUUUUACUCAUCUCAAAUUAUAUUUGGUUCCCUUAAAAACUAUCCUUUUGCACGACAACUUUUUCACCUAAGUUCCUCUCUUUUACAGAUGAUCAUCGUGCUACACCCAUCCAGGAUACGGCACAACGGAGACACAGGCGCAGACGUGCAGCAAGGACCCGCUCCAAGGAUUCUUUUUAGAUUAAGACCCUGCAUAAACCUUUUUUACUGUCUCUUGUUGAUACAUAUCCACCGAAUUCUCAGCACAGUUGAGAAGGAUACUGACGUCUUGGCAUGUGGCCACGUCAGAAUAAUGCACGUACCUGGACACAAGGGGCUUCUUACGAAGGGCACUAUUUAGGCCUGGUUUAUACCAUAAAGACCGAAUACCUUAGGGAGUGUUCGGUGUCGCGAGUUUGGCCUUAUAUGCAUCAGCUCCGAAUCAUUGUCUUUGGUCAAAUGUUGGGUUUGCCCGGCUCCUGUGUUUUGGUGCCUUACGUUCCACUUUACCGGCUAAGGUAGCACCAGGAGAACUACUGCGAUUGUGCCCUGGUUCAUCUGGACGAGCACCUUAGUAGAGAAAGCCGAAAACUGACUGUCAUGAUAUAGCAUGAGACUGGUCAACCACUCGGUGACCUAUCGGAAUGUUAGAAUUCCUCCACCUUAACGAAGGGCCGUUUUCCGGCUAGGCAUGUAUGCACCCCGCGAUCGGGAGAGUGCGGAGCCACCAGGGGCUAUCUAGUAGCCCCACUGUCAAACUCCUAUGGCUAAGUGAAGGUGUUAAAGCAUUAUAGUCCGGUUGCCUCGCUCGCUACGCUAUCACGUCCUUAAUAGGACCAAGACGAUGGGUUAAGUGUGAACACGCGUUUUUUGCGAGCACCUCCGCAUUAUAUGCGUGGGGGUUGAAGCCGACGGCUGCAAUCUUUCAGGUUAUACACAUGUAUACAUAAACGGCCGCACAGGAGGCAUCAUACUACUUUCAGGCAAAAGUAUAAACAUAACCUUAUAAAAACUUCAUAAAAGCAUUGUGCUUACAAUGAGAAUACAUAUCACUCAAACAUAAUAUUCUUCAAGCAUUGGGCCUCUAUCAAACGAGCACCCUCGAGAACCUCCUCGAAAUAGUGCUCGGCAGCCACCCGGCCUAUGGCCGAACCCUGCGCCGCAACAGUGGUAGCGUCCAUCUCUGCCCAGUAUGCUUUAACACGGGCAAGGGCCAUCCGUGAGCCUUCUAUGCACACCGACCUCUUCAUCGCAUUAAUGCGCGGCACCGCAUCAAGGAACUACUGCACUAAGCUGAAAUAGCUGCUCGGCUUUGGCCUUUCCGGCCAUAGCUGAUCCACAACAGACCUCAUGGCGAGUCCGGACAACCUAUUUAGUUCGGCCCAUUCGGCUAGCUGGUCAGUCAAUGAAAGCGGACGCUCUGGAACGUGGAAUUGCGUCCAGAACAGCUUGUCCACUUCACGAUCUGACUGACCUUGGAAGUACUUGGCCGCAUCGGCAGCACUCGCCGCCAAAUCCAUAUACGCAUCUGCCGAACUCCACAGCCGAUCCAGAGGGGCAUACCGUGGAUCUCCGAAUUUCCUCCGUAACAUGAAGGGUUUCCCAGCCGCAAUAUCCCCGGCUUCCCGCAGCUCCUCCUUCUUCGCUCUCAUAGCAGAACGGGUGUCUUUGUCCGCCGCCGCGGCCUUCUCAAGGUCCGUUGCCUUCGCUCGGUUUUCUUUUUCAAGGACCCGGCAACGGUCGGCAGUGUCUUUUCAUUCUACGGCCAUCUUGGCCAUCUUCUCUUGGCUCUCGCAAUGUGCGGCCUUUUCGGCUUUCAACUCUUCGGCCGCCUUCAAAGCAGCCGCAUUACUAAUCCUCGCUUGUUCCUUGGCUCGGGCAAGUUCUGCCCGCAAGGCUUCCACGGUGGCAGCUCCAUCUGCAGUCACAACAUAUUAAAGAUACUGGCGUCAUGCUGCUCUUACUAUGUGGCAUUCACCGGAUAAUAACACUUACCCUGUGCCUCGUCAAGCCUCUUGUUAACAAGCUCGAUGUCGGCGUCUGCCGCAUCCAGUUGCCAUUUUAAUUUGGCAAACUCACUAGUCCGGCUAGCCACCGGAGCUUCCACCACCUGCACAUAGGGGCAGUCUGGUUAUUGCCUGGGAAUAUGAUCCUCUGUUCGCCGCCGUUCUCGACGACAACCAGAGUCUCAGGGGCUACUAUCUACACAGAGCACACCUAACAUGUGCAGUACUAUCACAUAUUAUCUCACGUACCUCAAAGCCUGUCAGUAGACUCAUAAAGGCUUCAUGUAAUCUGCUUUUGGCGGACGAGAUUCUCUCCAUCACCGUACCCAUCAGCAUAUGGUGUUCUUCUAAGAUGGCUGCUCGCCCCACCAACUCCCUCAGAACGUCCGACCGCACACCAGACGGUGUCGGACUCUUUUGUAUGCUCUCUUCGGGAAACGGACACUGGGGACUUCGGGGGUCUACGGGAUUAUCUUCUGGCCUCACCGGAUCCGGAGAGGCCCUCCGUGACGACACUUCGGGGUCGCCCGCUUCUGGAGCGGAGGAGUCCGGGGGAGGCGUUUCACUCUCCAUCAUCUCUGGAAGAAAAUCUCCCGAAGACAAGCUCAUUUGAGAGGGGCUAAGGCCCGAACUGCAAGAUAUAUGCGGUGGUUAUUUUCUCAGAGAAAAAAGAUAGCAUACCUUUACUAUUAAAGUAUUUUGGAUCACUUACGACUCGUUGGAGGGCUGAUCCCCCCGCGGACUUUGUGCGGCAAAAGCACCCCCCAAGGCAGGACCCUUUGUGGGAGACUUCUUCUCCCGUUUGGAGGCCUCGGCUUCCGGAUCCUCAGAAGCAGUCCUUUUCCUCCCCCGGUCGUCCUCCUCCGUGGUGACGCUCAUUCCCUCGGUUGGAACGGGCAGCGACGGGGGCCCGCGUCUGCCCGUAUUAUGCCCCCUGUAUCUUCCUUCAAGGGCUCCGGGCAAGGUGCGACCUCAAGCAUCUUUUCCAAUACCAGAUUUUCCAAACCCUCAGGGAGGGGGGCCAAACACCGAAUCAUCUUCGCCUUUGUUAGCCAGUUCUGGUCAAAAAGCAAACUCUCAGAAAUAACUUUGAAUAAAAGACAGUGUGUUCGGCUAGAGAAUUUCUUACUUGUUCGGCAGCGCGGUUACUGCUCAGGCCCACGUCCUCGGUAAUAUCCAGACAUUCUACUUGAGGUCCGAAGAAUGACUUGUACAUCUCCUUGUGCGUCAGGCCGAGGAAACUUUGAAUGGCACGUGGUCCCUCUGGGUUGAACUCCCACAAGCGAAGGGGCCGGCGUUUGCAAGGCUGGACUUGACGAGCCAGCAUAACUUGUAUUAUCGCAACCAAAUUAAAAUCUCCCUCGAAGAGAUCUCGGAUGCGGCUUUGCAGUAUAGGCACGUCCUUGGCUGGACCCCAGCUCAGACCUCUACUAAUCCAUGACAUCAGUUGUGGUGGGGGGCCCGAGCGGAAAGCGGGGGCAGCCGCCCACUUGGCACUUCUGGGAGCCGUGACGUAAAACCACUCCCGUUGCCAUAAUUCGGACACCUCUGGAAAGGAACCUUUCGGCCAUGGAGCUCCUGCCAUCUUGCCUAUUGAUGCACCUCUGCACGCUGCAUGUUACCCCUUGAUCAUCUUCGGCUUUACUUCAAAGGUCUUGAGCCACAGGCCGGAGUGAGGGGUAACGCGGAGGAAGGCCUCGCACACGACAAUAAAUGUCGAGAUGUGGAGAAAGGAGUCCGGAGCUAGAUCGUGGAAAUCUAGCCCGUAAUAGAACAUCAAACCCCUGACGAAAGGAUCCAGAGUGAGGCCUAGACCUCGGAGGAAGUGGGAGACGAACACAACAUUCUCGUUGGGUUCGGGAGUAGGGACGAUCUGCCCUCGAGCAGGCAGCCGAUGUGAAACCUCGGUGGUCAGGUAUCUGGCCUCCCUCAACUUCUUAAUGUCCUCUUCCGUAACGGAGGAGGGACGUCCAUCAGCCUUGGAGGCUGGAUCCGGACAUGAUUGAAGAUCCGGAGCACCUAACCUGGGCUUUGGGUGUUAGAACUCGAGGCAGGGGAAGGGUUCAAUUGAGCACGAGCGGAAAAAAGCAAAAACCUUGUCCCCUUAUAAAGAGGGUGAAUAUCAAGCAUCCUCUCCGUAGCCGUUUGGGACUUGCCUAUAAUCUAGGAGUCCUAGACACGGUUGGGUUACCCAUGACCACAUUAAUGAGAAUCCCAUAAUUGGGGAAACACGAUCUCCGCUUCGGCAAGACGUGUCAAGAAACCGUCCCGCGUUAUGUGUGGAGCUGGUUAAAAGAAACGGUUCGAAUAAUCACCGGGCCAUGACAUAACGUCAUGCUGCCAAAACAAGCCAGCAAAUUAGAUCUGCGAAAAAUUAUUCUCUCUGCGGUGGAAUGUGGAACUUAUUUUGCAAGGUCGGACACUAUCCUCGUAUUCAAAUUCUUUUGUGAUGUAUUCGGAGAAGGAACCCGCCUUGCAAUGCCGAAGAUAAUACUGCGCGCCGGACUCAUCGUCAUUGAAGCCUGGUUCAGGGGCUACUGAGGGAGUCCUGGAUUAGGGGGUCUCCGGACAGCCGGACUAUCUCCAUUAGCCGGACUGUUAGACUAUGAAGAUACAAGAUUGAAGACUUCGUCUUGUGUCCGGAUGGGACUCUACUUGGCGUGGAAGGCAAGCUAGGCAAUACAUAUAUGGAUAUCUCCUCCUUUGUAACCGACCUUGUGUAACCCUAACCCUCUCCGGUGUCUAUAUAAACCGAAGGGUUUUAGUCCGUAGGACAACAAUCACAACAUAAAUCAUACCAUAGGCUAGCUUCUAGGGUUUAGCCUCUCUGAUCUCGUGGUAGAUCUACUCUUGUACUACCCAUAUCAUCAAUAUUAAUCAAGCAGGACGUAGGGUUUUACCUCCAUCAAGAGGGCCCGAACCUGGGUAAAACUUCGUGUCCCCUGCCUCCUGUUACCGUCCGGCCUAGACGCACAGUUCGGGACCCCCUACCCGAGAUCCGCCGGUUUUGACACCGACAGUGGGCGCAAAGGCAACCCCCCUCCACCCAUUUUGGAUCAUAAUCAAGAGGGAGAUAACUGUUUUGAGGGGGAUUCAGAAGUAGAAGACCAUUGCUAUUUACUCCAUGAGGUCUUCGAUCUAACUUGGCAUGCUGAUGUUGGUUAUAUCAUGCAUAUGGUGCCUUGCAUUGCUUACUUUAUACAUCAAAUAUAUCAACUGCUUAGUUUAGACAUGCUUUGUGUGAAUGCCAUCUGUUUAGUUUAUUCAUCGUUUAUGUGAAUUAUGCAAUGCCAUCUUGUUUAACCAGGCAUCAUAUAUGUGAAUUUUGCAAUGCCAUCCUUCUUAGCCAGUCAUCUUAUAUGUGAAUUAUAUCAGGCCAUCCUUUUUUUCAUCACGUAUUACAUUUUUCAACAAUGUUAGUACAUUCAAAUACUCUUCGUGUGCAUCAACCAUUUGACACAAUGAUGGAAAAUUCUGGAGUGAAAACAAGGUCUUCAGAGCAGACUAUGCUAUCUGACGAAGCGCAUAUCUUGCUGGUGACGGAUAGCUCCUCAGAGGAGGAUUUAGAGACAGAUGACCAGUCCUAUUCCCACCCGAGGUGUAUGCUCUAAUUAACUUGGCAGGGUUAUGUUGCUCAUAUCGUGCGUAUGGUGUCUUGCAUUGCGAUGUCAUUUGAUUAGUUCAGACAUGCUUUGUGUGAAUGCCACCUGUUUAGUGUCUAAUUACCAUAUAUGUGAAUUAUGCAUUGCCAUCUUGUUGCAAGACAUUAUAUAUGUGAAUUAUGCAAUGCUAUCUUGUUGCAAAGGCAUUAUAUAUGUGAAUUAUGCAAUGCCAUGCUGUUGAGCCAAUCAUCAUGUAUGUGAAUUAUAUCAUGCUAUCAUUUUUUUGUAUUACGUGUUCCAUUUGUCGACAACGUUUGUAUAUUCAACUACUCUUCCUGUGCAUCAGCCAUUUGAAGCGAUGAUGGAAGUAUCUGGAGUGAAAACAAGGUAUUCAGAGCAGACAAUGCUACCUGCUGAAGCAGACAUCUUGCUGGAUACAGAGAGCUCCUCAAAGGAGGAUUCAGAGACUGAUGACCAGUCCUAUUUCCCCCCUGAGGUCUAUGCUCAAACUUGGUAGGGUUAUAUUACCCAUGUCAUGCAUGUUGUCUGCAUUGCUUAGUUUUUACAUCAUAUAUGGAUUGCCAUCUGCUUACUUGCUUACUAUAUAAAUCAUAUAUUUCAAUUAUAUCAUGCCAUCAUGUUUACAUACACAACAUCUAUUUGAAUUAUGGCAUGGCAACCCAUUUAAUAAAUACAUCAUAUAGUUAUAUCAUCCCAUCCUGUUUAGUAUUUACAGUCAUCAUAUUUUGAAUUAUGUCAUUCUAUCCGGGAAUUAUAUCAUGCUAUCAUGUUUCCAUAGGCGGCAUGUAUGUGAAUUAUGGCAGGCCAACCUAUUUAAUAAACACAUUAUAUAGUUAUAUCAUGUCAUCCUGUUUACAUAGUCAUCAUAUUUUGAACUAUGUCUUUCCAUCUUUUUUAGUUAGCCAUCAUCAUGUGAAAUUGUAUCAUACUAUCCUGUUUAGUUAGCCAUCAUAUAUGUGAAAUUGUGUCAUGCUAUCCUAUUUGGUUAGAAAACAUAAAUGUGAAUUAUUUCAUGCCCUCUUUUAUUCCCCACUAUCCAUUGCACCUGUCUAUCAUACAAUGCCUGUACAUUCAAUUACUUUUCUUGUUUAUCAGCCAUUUGAAUUGGAGAGGGUGAUGGCAGUAUCUAAGGGAGUAACAACAUGGUCUUCAGAAAAGAUAGUGCUACCAGUUGAUGAAGAUAGAACAACGGUUGUACUUGCCCAAGAACCAGCCCCACCACACAUAACCCAUACUCUCGCAGAUUGUACCCCUACCUAGUUGGACAAAGAACCAGCUACACCCCUUCUAACCCCAACCCCAGCAGAUAGUAACCCAGUUCCAGUUGACACAACACCGUCUCCACCACAGAGCACCCAAACACGAGCAGUUAGUAAGGGAACUGCAGUGCCCAAAGCACAAGGACCACCACUCCGAAUCCCAACUCAAUGCUUAAAGGAGAAGAAGAAUUGUUCUCAGGUCAGGUUCUGUAGCUAUGGUUCAUACUCCUUUGCUCUUGCAUCACUGUAUUUACUCAGACAAACUAUUUUAAAAUUUGAAGGCUGGAAUUGAAACUCUAAUGGCGCAAUAGGUAUGUUUUAAACUUGUUUCUUUAACUGGUUUGCUAUUGUAACUUUAUCUAUAUUGAUUUCAGUUUCAAUUGAAUAAACAGUUAUGUUCUCAUGUCAUGCACAUUACAAGUGUCUCUAUAGUUUCCCACACUUAUAUUCUGUCUAUUCUGCUUUGUCUUGAACAAAUAUUAUUUGAACUGUGUCUCUAUCUUGAUUUGGCAACAAAAACUAGAAUGAUAUAGACCAUAAAGUGACCAUGGCACAAAGAUAUAUGUUUGUUUCAUGCUGUUAUCCUGUGCACUUUACUACUGAACAGAUUUACCAAAAUGAGUUUCAUAUACAACAUGGUAAACCUGGGAUGUGUCUGCUUGUUUCUCUUUUAGAAUGCGGACAAAAUAUUGGAGAACAAUACCCCGUUAUGCAAUGGUGAAGGAAGUAAUGCAGAUAAGGUUCAAGAUAGUGAGACAUCCCUGUUGGUCUCCAAGAAAGCUGAUAAAAACUACCUUGACGAUAGUGAGAGAACCCAGAAGUCCUGUCUUGAUGUAGUGUUCGAGUUAUUGGCCACUACUGCCGGCACAAGCUCUUCGAACUCGCUGCCGGAAUCAGCUCGUCUUCUUGAGUCUCAGCUUCAAGUUGAAAGACAUCGAUCAGAUGUGUUGCGACAGGAAGCUGAAGGACUGAGGAAGUCCCUGCAGAAUUCAGAUGCAUACUUUCUGGUGCAACAGUAAGCGCUGGAGGAUUUAAGCGCCAAACAAGAAAAAGUUAAUAAGCUUGCUAAGCAUCUUGCCAGCAUUAUGGGUACCCAGGAUAUUGUUUCUUGAGAUCUUCUGAAGUGGUUUCAAUUCUGGACUUGUUUUGUUGCGUCGUUUAUUUGCACUGGUCGCCAACUUUGACAACCAGUGUAUAUGAUAUGCUGCUUUGUUCCCUAUAUUUGCACUGGUGGCGAACUUUGAUGCCCAGUGGAUGUAAUAUGUGUAAUAGCCGUGAUAGCCUAGCAUAAGUUGCUUGCUUAUUUAUUUCCUUGUUGUCUUGUUUAUUUGUUUGCUUGUAGUCAGUGUUGUUCUUUUUCCGCGGUUUGGUAGUGGCCGCAAUAACCUAUUUUUUAAAACUAGGCCACAAUAACCAUGGGCUACAUAUUUACUAUAGUGACACCGGGCCUUCUACGGGCCGUAGAAACAAUGGGCCUUCUAUGGGGCGUAGAAACAAUGGGCCUUCUACGGGCUGUGUCAUCAAUGGGCCUUCUACGGGCCGUAUCAUCAAUGGGCCUUCUACGGGCCGUAUCAUCAAUGGGCCUUAUACGGGCCGUAUGAUCAAUUGCCCAAACAUGGGCCAAUAACAUACCGCUUUAUGGCCGUAAACGGGCUAGAGUUGGAAUCGUCCGUUCAUGGGCCGACCAAAAUGGGCCGUCGUUAAUCGACUGUAUUUGAUGAUGCCAUGAAAACGACCCAACAUAUUAACGGGCCACAAAUGGGCCGACUGUAAGCACGGGCUGAAUUUGGCCCACAAGCAGAAAAUGACAGUAACGGGCAGUAAGUAACCGAAUGCUAGAAAUGAGCCCAAGAAUAAAUGGGCCCUGAGAAGGCCGAAAGAUAACAUGGGCUGGAAAUGGCCCAACGGAAUAAUGGUCCGUUAAUGGGUAUAAAGUGAUACACUGUUCAUUACGGGCCAAUUUUACCACGUGCCAUUAAUGGGCCGAGGGUUACUAAGGGCCUCAUAUGGGCUGAAAGAUGUCAUGGGCCAUACAUGGGCCGAAAGUUAAAACGGGAUGGAAUUAUAUUGGACAGCCCAGAUGACACUACUGGGCCUAAUUAGGAUAGGCCGUAAACGGGCCCUGGGUUAGCGGGCUGUAAAUGGGCUAUAUGUGAACAGGCCGUUAACAGGUUUGCCGUGGGCCGGCCCACCACCUUUUUACCAAGUCAAACGGGCCGGCCUUUUCAUAGGAAUGGGCCUCUGUUGGGCCGUGCCACAUGUCGACGUAUCAUAGGCGCUUUGGGUCCAAUGAGUGGAUGACAUCUAUCCCAACGGUGAGCCGACACGUGUUUCCUCCAGCCAAUGAUGAUUUUACACGUGGAAAAUCCCCAUUGGUCGGGGCUGUUAACGGGUUAUCGGAUCCAAAACCGGACUCGAUAGCUUAACGACGUUCCGUUACGAUGGAUGCCACGUGUCGGUCACCCUUGACGAAAGCACUUCUGUGAUGCACGAUUUAUCGUAAUGGAAGUGGACACUUCCGUGAUGAUAAUUUUGGUAAUGUCAUGGAACACUUCUACGACAGCACAUGUAUGACUAUCUUGAUUCUGUCAUAAAUUUGUCAUGGAUGUACAUGCAUGACAGAAAACAUGACCUACUGUGACAAACACGUAUCAUCACGGAAGUGUAUUUUUUUUGUAGUGAUAGGUAGAUAUGGUGGACUCUCAUGGCAAAACUAGGUUUAAGGAUAUUUGGAAGCACAAGUAGUAUCUCUACUUGGUGCAAAGAAUUUGGCUAGCAUGAGGGGGAAAGGCAUGCUCAACAUGUUGGAUGAUCCAUGACAAUAUAAUUUAUUUCAGAUGUAAGAAAACAUAACCCAUUACGUUGUCUUCCGUGUCCAACCUCAACCUUUUUAGCAUGUCAUAUUUUAAUGAGUGCUCACAAUCAAAAAAGAUGUCCAAGAUAGUAUAUUUAUAUGUGAAAACCUCUCCUUCUUUAUUACUUCCUAUUAAUUGCAACGAUGACCAAAACUAUGUUUGUCAACUCUCAACAACUUUUAUUCAUCAUACUCUUUAUAUGUGAAGUCAUUACUAUCCAUAAGAUCAAUACGAUCUCUUUAUUUCUUUUUAUUCUUUCUCUUUUUUCCUCAAGAUCAUAGCAAGAUAACCAAGCCCUUGACUCAAAACUAACCUUUAUUAUAUAUAGCUCAUGGACUCAAUUACAUAGAAAGAUCAUAAAGCAAACUCAAAACUAAAUCAUACUAAAACUUUAUUCUACUAAAUCAAGAUAUUACCAAAUGGAUCGAACUAAGAAAAACGGUAAAGAUAAAGGUGUGAUGGUGAUAUGAUACCGGGGCACUUCCCCAAGCUUGGCAGUUGCCAAGGGGAGUGCCCAUACCCAUGUAUUUAUGUCUCUUUCUUCGGACAUGGUGACGUGAUAUUCUUGGCGAUGAUGCCCUUCAGGAUACAAUUCUCUUCCUCAAGCUUAUUGACUUGCUGCUUGAGGUCCAUUAUUUCCUUACGGAGCUUGCCCAUGACGGCUAAAGCUCCUUUCACCCAUGGAUGUUGCAUAGCUGUGGGAGAACAAGUAACACUCUUUUUCAUAUUUUAAUAAGAAAGAAAUCUAACAUUGGAAGGGAUGACUGAGUUUGGAAUAGCUGAGCUAUGUAGUUCCCCCAUCGUGAAUCCGGCUCGGAAACGAGAAGUAACUUCUUGAUCCUCUUCCAUGGCAUCUAUCCUUUACAAGUCGGCCUCCAUCUCUUCCUCCUUUGAUGCCCCAAAGUGGUCAGCAUCACUGUUUGCUCUUGGUCCCGGUGUCGGAUGAGACACCCGGCUCUCCUCGAUUGACUCUUGAGAAGACAUCUUGACCUAAAUUUGCAGCAGAAAUAGCUCGAAACAAAACAAAGGAUAUUUGUGUGGUACGGUGGUCAAAACCUUCGGGAGAUUAUAUAAUGAAUUUUUACCGACCAAAAGAAGUAUCGUGCAAGAAAACGGAGCCUGGAGGGCACACGAGGUGCCCACGAGGCAGGGGGCGCGCCCAGCAGGGUAGGGCGCGCCCUCCACCCUCGUGGACGCCUCGUGUCCUUUCCGGACUGCUUCUUAUUUUCCUAUUUUCUUAAAUAUUCCAAAACGGAGAAAAAAUGCUAUUAGAACUGUUUUGGAGUCGGUAUACUUGCCCACAUACCUCUUCCUUUUCGGAGACUGAAACGUUCCAGGAGGCGUCCCUUAUAUACUCCUCCAGGGUUACGGUUUCAAUAACAUUAGUUUCAACAUUUAUAGGAUUACCUGAGAGAUAAUGUUUGAUUCUUUGACCGUUCAACACCCUCGGAUUUGUGCCUUCAAAGUUGUUGAUUUUUAUGGCACCGGAACGAUAGACCUCGUCGAUAACGUAAGGAUCUUCCCAUUUAGAGAGGAGUUUUCCUGCAAAAAAUCUUAAUCGAGAGUUGUAUAACAAUACAUAAUCACCUAAAUUAAAAUCACGUUUUUGUAUCCUUUGUCAUGCCAUCUUUUAACCUUUUUCCUUAAAUAUCUUGGCAUUCUCAUAGGCCUGGGUUCUCCAUUCAUCAAGUGAGCUAAUGUCAAAUAGUCUCUUCUCACCGACAAGUUUGAAGUCAUAAUUGAGCUCUUUAAUGGCCCAAUAUGCCUUAUGUUCUGGUUCGAGAGGUAAGUGACAUGCUUUUCCAUAAACCAUUUUAUAUGGAGACAUACCCAUAGGAUUUUUGUAUGCAGUUCUAUAGGCCCAUAAUGCAUCAUCAAGUUUCUUGGACCAAUUCUUUCUAGAUCUAUUAACAGUCUUUUGCAAAAUUAAUUUAAGCUAUCUAUUGCUCAGUUCUACUUGACCACUAGACUGUGGGUGAUAUGGAGAUGCAAUUCUAUGAUUAACAUCAUACUUAGCAAGCAUUUUACAAAAAGCACCAUGAAUAAAAUGUGAACCACCAUCAGUCAUUAAAUAUCUAGGGACUCCAAACCUCGGAAAAAUAACUUCUUUAAGCAUCUUAAUAGAGGUGUUAUGAUCAGCACUACUAGUUGUAAUAGCUUCUGCCCACUUAGUAACAUAAUCAAUAGCAACUAAAAUAUUACCAAUUAGAGGAAGGAAACGGUCCCAUAUAAUCAAAGCCCCAAACAUCAAAUGGUUCAAUAACAAGUGAAUAAUUCAUAGGCAUUUCUUGACGUCUACUAAUAUUACCAAUUCUUUGACAUUCAUCACAAGACAAGACAAACUUAUGGGCAUCCUUGAAGAGAGUAGGCCAAUAAAAAUCGGAUUGCAAUACUUAUGUGCAGUUCUAUCUCCAGCAUGGUGUCCUCCAUAAGCCUCGGAGUGACACUUGCGUAGGAUCUGUUCCUGUUCAUGCUCAGGUACACAACGUCUAAUAACACCAUCUACUCCUUCUUUAUAAAGGUGUGGGUCAUCCCAGAAGUAAUGUCUUAAAUCAUAGAAAAACUUUUUCAUUUGUUGAUAUGUGAAACUAGGUGGUAUAAAUUUAGCAACAAUGUAAUUAGCAUAAUCAGCAUACCAUGGAGCAGUACGAGAAGCAUUUAUGGCAGCUAAUUGUUCAUCAAGAAAGCUAUCAUCAAUAGGUAGUGGGUCAUCAAGAACAUUCUCUAACCUAGACAAGUUGUCUGCAACGAGGUUCUUAGCUCCCUUUCUAUCGGUAAUAUGCAAAUCAAAUUCUUGUAGUAGGACAACCCAUCUAAUAAGUCUAGGUUUAGCAUCUCUCUUUUCCAUAAGGUAUUUAAUAGCAACAUGAUCAGUGUGAACAGUUACUUUAGAAUCAACAAUAUAAGGUCUGAACUUAUCACAAGUAGAUACAACUGCUAAUUUUUUUUUCAGUAGUAGCAUUAUUUCUUUGGGCACUGUCUAGAGUUUUACUAGCAUAUUGGAUAACAUUUAAUUUCUUAUCAGCUCUUUGUCCUAGAACAGCCCCUACAGCAUAAUCACUAGCAUCACACAUAAUUUCAAAGGGUAAAUUCCAAUCAGGUGGCUGAACAAUGGGUGCAAAAAUCAAAGCUUUCUUAAGUAUUUCAAAUGCUUCUAAACAAUCAUCAUCAAAGAAGAAAGGAACAUCUUUUUGUAAGAGAUUGGUCAGAGGCCUGGAAAUUUUUGAGAAGUCUUUGAACCUCCUAUAAAAACCGGCAUGACCAAGGAAACUUCUUAUACCUUUAAUGUCCUUAGGACACGACAUCUUUUUAAUAGCAUCAACUUUAGCUUUAUCAACUUCAAUACCUCUUUUAGAAAUUUUAUGCCCCAAGACAAUGCCUUCAUUAACCAUAAAGUGGCACUUCUCCAAAUUUAAGACAAUAUUAGUUUCUUCACAUCUCUGCAAAACUCGAUCAAGGUUGCUUAAGCAAUCAUCAAAAGAAGUUCCAUAUACGGAAAAAUCAUCCAUGAAAACCUCAACAACAUUUUCACAAAAGUCAGAGAAUAUAGCAGUCAUACAUAUUUGAAAGGUAGCAGGUGCAUUACAUAAACCAAAAGGCAUACAUCUAUAAGCAAAGGUACCGAAAGGGUAAGUAAAAGUGGUCUUUUCUUGAUCCUCUUUUGACACAGGUAUUUGAGAGAAACCAGAAUAACCGUCUAGAAAGCAAAAAUGUGUAUGUUUGGAUAAUCUUUCUAGAAUUUGAUCAAUAAAAGGUAAAGGGUAAUGAUCCUUUUUAGUAGAUUUAUUUAGUUUGCAGAAAUCAAUUACCAUUCUAUAACCUGUAACAAUUCUUUAUGGGAUCAAUUCAUCUUUAUCAUUAGGAACAACAGUAAUACCUCCCUUCUUAGGGACACAAUGGACAGGACUUACCCACUGACUAUCAGCAACGGGAUAAAUUAUACCUGCCUCCAGAAGCUUUAGUAUUUCUUUUCUUACCACUUCUUUCAUCUUAGGAUUUAACAAUCGUUGGUGAUCAACAACCGUUUUAGCGUCUUUCUCAAAUUUUAUUUUGUGCUGGCAUAGAGUUGGACUAAUGCCCUUAAGAUCAUCAAGAGUAUAUCCAAUAGCAGCACGGUGCUUCUCCAGAGUUUUCAAUAAUUUCUCCUCUUUUGGCUCUGAAAGGUUAGCACUAAUAAUAACAGGAUAUAUCUUCUUUUCAUCAAGAUAAGCAUAUUUAAGAGUAGCAGGCAAUGGUUUAAGCUCAAACACGGGAUCACCCUUGGGUGGAGGAGGAUCCCCUAGAAUUUUGACAGGCAAGUUGUGUUUCAAAAUAGGUCCCUGUUUAAAGAAUACUUCAUCUAUUUCCCUUCUUUCAUUCAUAAACAUAUCAUUUUCAUGGUCUAGCAAAUAUUGUUCUAAAGGAUCAUUAGGAGGCACGACAAUAGAAGGAAGACCAAUAGUUUCAUCUUUACUAGGAAAUUCUUUAUCAUGGGGUUGUCUACGAAAUUUAGCAAAAUUAAAAUCAUGAGACAUAUCCCCUAAACCAACAGAAACAAUAUCCUUUUUGCAGUCUAUCUUAGCAUUAACAGUAUUCAAGAAGGGUCUACCAAAUAUAAUGGGACAAAAGUCAUCUUGUGGGGAACCAAGAACAAGAAAAUCAGCAGGAUAUUUAACUUUCCCACACAAGACUUCAACAUCUCUAACAAUCCCAAUCGGUGAAAUAGUAUCUCUAUUGGCAAGCUUAAUUGUAACAUCAAUACCUUCCAACUCAACAGGUGCAAUAUCAUGCAUAAUUUCUUCAUAUAAAGAAUGAGGUAUUGCACUCGCACUAGCACCCAUAUCACAUAAGCCAUGAUAGCAAUGAUCUCCUAUUUUAACAGAAAUAACAAGCAUGCCUACAACAGGUCUAUGUUUAUUCUUAGUAUCGGGUCUAGCAAUUCUAGCAGCUUCAUCACAAAAGUAAAUAACAUGCCCAUCAAUAUUAUCGGCCAAGAGAUCUUUAACCAUAGAAAUACUAGGUUCAACUUUAAUUUGCUCAAAGGGUGUAAUUUUUCUAGUAUUACUCUUAUGAACCACAGUUGAAGCUUUAGCAUGAUCCUUUAUUCUAGUAGGGAAAGGUGCUUUCUCAAUAUAAGCGGUAGGAACAAUAGGAUCAACAUUAUAAGUGAUAGUCUUUUCUUCAAUUUUAAUAGGUUCAACUACUUUUACUUCAAUGGGAGGAUGAUAUUUAAUCCACUUCUCCUUAGGGAGAUCAACAUGAGUAGCAAAUGAUUCACAAAAAGAAGCUACUAUCUCAGAGUCAAGUCCAUAUUUAGUGCUAAAUUCACAAAAAGCAUCGGUAUCCAUAAAAGAUUUAACACAAAAAACUUAGGUGUUGUACCUGAAUCCUUACCUUCGUCGAGCUCCCAAUCUUUAGAGUUGUGUUUAAUUCUUUCCAAUAAAUCCCAUCUGAAUUCAAUAGUCUUCAUCAUAAAAGAACCAGUACAAGAAGUAUCGAGCAUGCAGCGAUUAUUGAGAGAAAGCCGAGCAUAAUUUUUUUGAAUAAUAAUUUAUUUUGAGAGCUCAUGAUUGGGGCAUGAAUAUAACAUUGACUUAAGCCUCCCCCAAGCUUGAGCGAUGCUUUCUCCUUCGCGAGGCCAUAAAUUAUAUAUAUAAUUACGAUCACGAUUAACCAGAUGCAUAGGAUAAAACUUCUGAUGAAAUUCCAAUUUCAAUGGGUUGUAGUUCCAUGAUCCAAUAUCAUCACAUAGCCUAAACCAUGUCAAUGCCUUUCCCUUACCUUCUUCUUGAUAACGUCCUCGGGCAUACCUGCAAGCUUAAAUAAUCAACAAACUUCAUCCACAUAGAUUAAGUGCAAAUCAGGAUGCAAUGUUCCAUCUCCUGUAAAAGGAUUAGCUAGCAGUUUCUCUAUCAUACCCGAAGGAAUUUCAAAUUAAACAUUUUCAGUAGGUUCACUAGGUUGAGGAGCAACUCUUUGCUCUACGGGUCGGGGUGAAGAUACCCCGAACAAGCCCCUCAAAGGAUUAUGUUCCAUAGUAACAAGUGACAGUAAAUUUCAGCACACUAUAUAAAUUUUUCCUUACCAAAUUCCACCUACCAAAGGCGCUUCACUCCCCGGCAACAGCGCCAGAAAAGAUUCUUGAUGACCCACAAGUAUAGGGGAUCUAUCGUAGUCCUUUCGAUAAGUAAGAGUGUCAAACCCAACGAGGAGCAGAAGGAAAUGAUAAGCAGUUUUCAGUAAGGUAUUCUCUGCAAGCACUGAAAUUAUCGGUAACAGAUAGUUUUGUGAUAAGGUAAUUUGUAACGGGUAACAAGUAAUAAAAGUAAAUAAGGUGCAGCAAGAUGGCCCAAUCCUUUUUGUAGCAAAGGACAAGCCUGGACAAACUCUUAUCUAAAUGAAAGCGCUCCCGAGGACACAUGGGAAUUAUCGUCAAGCUAGUUUUUAUCAUGCUCAUAUGAUUCGUGUUCGGUACUUUGAUAAUUUGAUAUGUGGGUGGACCGGUGCUUAGGCACCACCCUUCCUUGGACAAGCAUCCCAUUUAUGAUUAACCCCUCUUGCAAAGCAUCCACAACUACAAAAGAAGUAUUAAGGUAAACCUAACCAUAGCAUGAAACAUAUGGAUCCAAAUCAGCCCCUUACAAAGCAAAGCAUAAACUAGGGUUUAAGCUUCGGUCACUCUAGCAACCCAUCAUCUACUUAUUACUUCCCAAUGCCUUCCUCUAGGCCCAAACAAUGGUGAAGUGUCAUGUAGUCGACGUUCACAUGACACCACUAGAGGAGAGACAACAUACAUCUCAUCAAAAUAUCAAACGAAUACCAAAUUCACAUGACUACUUAUAGCAAGACUUCUCCCAUGUCCCCAGGAACAAACGUAACUACUCACAAAUCAUAUUCAUGUUCAUAAUCAGAGGGGUAUUAAUAUGCAUAAAGGAUCUGAACAUAUGAUCUUUCACCAAAUAAACCAACUAGCAUCAACUACAAGGAGUAAUCAACACUACUAGCAACCCACAUGUACCAAUCUAAGGUUUUGGAACAAAGAUUGGAUACAAGAUAUGAACUAGGGUUUGAUAUGAGAUGGUGCUGGUGAAGAUGUUAAUGGAGAUUGACCCCCUCCCGAUGAGAGGAUCGAUGAUGAUGACGACGGUGAUGAUUUCCCCCUCCCGGAGGGAUGUUUCCCCGGCAGAACAGCUCCGCCGGAGCCCUAGAUUGGUUCCGCCAAGGUUCCGCCUCGUGGCGGCGGAGUUUCGUCCCGAGAGCUUGCUUAUGAUUUUUUCCAGGGAAAAAGACUUCAUAUAGCCAAAGAUGGGCAUCGGAGGCAUGCCAGGGGGCCCACGAGGCCGGGGGUAGGGCGCGCCCCCCACCCUCGUGGAUGGUGGGUGGCCCCCUCUAGUGCUUCCUUCGUCCAAUAUUUUUUAAAUAUUCUGAAACUGACUUCCGUGGAGUUUCAGGACUUUUGGAACUGUGCAGAAUAGGUCUCUAAUAUUUGCUCCUUUUCCAGCCCAUAAUUCCAGCUACCGGCAUUCUCCCUCUUCAUGUAAACCUUUUUAAAUAAGAGAGAAUAUGCAUAAGUAUUUUGACAUAAUGUGUAAUAACAUCGCAUAAUGCAAUAAAUAUUGAUAUAAAAACAUGAUGCAAAAUGGACGUAUCAGGCGAUAAUAGUCAUACUGCUUACCAGCAACGUCUUAUUUUGAUUCGGCGGUAUUGUUGGAUGAAGCAGCCCGGACCGACAUUACAUGACCGCGUUCAUGAGACUGGUUCUACCGACAUGCUUCGCACACAGGUGGCUGGCGGGUGUCUGUUUCUCCAACUUUAGUUGAAUCAAGUUUGACUACACCCGGUCCUUGUUGAAGGUUAAAACAACACACUUGACGAAAAAUCGUUGUGGUUUUGAUGCGUAGGUAAGAACGGUUCUUGCUAGAAGCCUAUAGCAGCCACGUAAAAGUUGCAACAACAAAGUAGAGGACGUCUAACUUGUUUUUGCAGGGCAUGUUGUGAUGUGAUAUGGUCAAGACGUGAUGAGAUAUAAAUUGUUGUAUGAGAUGAUCAUGUUUUGUUAAAGUUAUCGGCAACUGGCAGGAGCCUUAUGGUUGUCUCUUUAUUGCAUAAGAUGCAAGCGCCAUAUAAUUGCUUUACUUUAUUGCUAGGCGAUAGCAAUAGUUGCAAAAGCAAUAGUUGGCGAGACGACCAUAUGACGGCACGUUGAUAGAGAUCAAGAUGACGGAGAUCAUGGUGUCAUGCCGGUAAUGAUGGAAAUCAUAAUGGUACUUUGGAGACGGAGAUCAAAGGCACAAGAUGAUGAUGGCCAUAUCAUGUCACAUAUUUUGAUUGCAUAUGAUGUUUAUCCUUUAUGCAUCUUAUUUUGCUUAGUACGGCGGUAGCAUUAUAAGAUGAUCCCUCACUAAAUUUCAAGGUAUAAGUGUUCUCCCUGAGUAUGCACCAUUGCUAUAGUUCAUCGUGCCGAGACACCACAUGAUGAUUGGGUGUGAUAAGCUCUACGUUCACAUACAACGGGUGCAAGCCAGUUUUGCACACGCGAAAUACUCGGGUUAAACUUGAAGAGCCUAGCAUAUGCAGAUAUGGCCUCGAAACACUGAGACCAAAAGGUUGAACACGAAUCAUAUAGUAGAUAUGAUCAACAUAGAGAUGUUCACCAUUGAAAACUACUCCAUCUCACGUGAUGAUCGGACAUGGUUUAGGUGAUAUGGAUCACGUGAUCAUUUAGAUGACUAGAGGGAUGUCUAUCUAAGUGGGAGUUCUUAAGUAAUAUGAUUAAUUGAACCUAAUUUAUCAUGAACUUAGUCCUGAUAGUUUUUGCAUGUCUAUGUUGUAGAUCAAUAGCUUGCGAUGUAGAUCCCCAUUUAUUUUUGAUAUGUUACUAGAGAAAAAUAAAUUGAAAGAUGAUAGUAGCAAUGAUACGGACUGGGUCCGUGAUCUGAGAAUUAUCCUCAUUGAUGCACAGAAGAAUUAUGUCCUUGAUGCACCGCUAGGUGACGAACCUAUUGCAGGAGAAGAUGCAGACGUUAUGAAUGUUUGACAAGCUCGGUAUGAUGACUACCUGAUAGUUUAGUGCACCAUGCUUUACAGCUUAGAACCGGGACUUCAAAAAUGUUUUGAACGACAUGGAGCAUAUAAGAUGUUCCAGGAGCUGAAAUUGUUAUUUCAGACUCAUGCCCGAGUCGAGAGGUAUGAGACCUCUCACAAGUAUUUUGCCUACAAGAUGGAGGAGAAUAGCUCAACCAGUGAGCAUGUGCUCAGAAUGUCUGAGUACUACAAUCUCUUGAAUCAAGUGGGAGUUAAUCUUCCAAAUAAGAUAGUGAUUGACAGAGUUCUCUAGUCACUGUCACCAAGUUACUGGAACUUCGUGAUGAACUAUAAUAUGCAAGGGAUGACAAAAAUGAUUACCCGAGCUCUUCGCGAUGCUGAAAUCGGCAAAGGUAGAAAUCAAGAAAAGCAUUAAGUGUUUAUGGUUGACAAGACCACUAGUUUCAAGUAAAAGGGCAAGGGAAAGAAAGGGAACUUCAAGAAGAAUGGCAAGCAAGUUGCCAUUCCCAUGAAGAAGCCCAAAGCUAGACCCAAGCAUGAAACUGGGUGCUUCUACUGCAAAGGAAAUGGUCACUGGAAGCGGAACUGCCCCAAAUACUUGGCGGAUAAGAAGGAUGGCAAAGUGAACAAAAGUAUAUAUGAUAUACAUGUUAUUAUUGUGUACUUUACUAGCGUUCAUAGUAGCCCCUGGGUAUUUGAUACUGGUUCAGUUGCUAUGUUAGUAACUUGAAACAGGAGUUACAAAAUGAACAGAGACUAGUUGAGCGCGAGGUGACGAUGUGUGUUGGAAGUGAUUCCAAGGUUGAUAAGAUCACUAUCGCACACUCCCUUUACCUUCGGGAUUAGUGUUGAACCUAAAAUAAAUGUUAUUUGGUGUUUGCAGUGAGCAUAAUAUGAUUGGAUCAUGUUUAUUUCAAUACGCUUAUUCAUUUAAGUCAAAGAAUAUUUUUUAUUCUAUUUACAUGAAUAAAACCUUCUGUGGUCAUACACAUAAGGUGAAUGGUUUAUUGAAUCUCGAUCAUAGUGAUACACAUAUUCAUUGAUGCCAAAAGAUGCAAAGUUCAUAAUGAUAGUGCAACAUACUAGUGGCACUGCCGUUUAGGUCAUAUUGGUGUAAAGCGCAUGAAGAAACUCCAUGCGGAUGGACUUUUGGAAUCACUUGAUUAUGAAUCAUUUGAUGCUUGCGAACCAUGCCUCAUGGGCAAGAUGACUAAGACUCCGUUCUUCGGAACAAUGGAGCGAGCCACUAACUUAUUGGAAAUAAUACAUACCGAUGUAUGUGGUCCGAUGAGUGUUGAGGCUCGCGGCGAGUAUCAUUAUUUUCUGACCUUCACAGAUGAUUUGAGCAGAUAUGGGUAUAUCUACUUAAUGGAACAUAAGUCUGAAACAUUUGAAAAGUUCAAAGAAUUUCAGAGUGAAGUGGAAAAUCAUCGUACCAAGAAAAUAAAGUUUCUAUGGUCUGAUCGCGGAGGCGAAUAUCUUGAGUUACGAGUUUGGUCUUCAUUUAAAAACAAUGUGGAAUAGUUUCACAACUCAUGCCACCUGGAACACCACAGAGUAAUGGUGUGUUGGAAUGUCGUAACCGUACUUUAUUAGAUAUGGUGCGAUCUAUGAUGUCUCUUACCAAUUUACCACUAUCGUUUUGGGGUUAUGCAUUCGAGACAGCUGCAUUCACAUUAAAUAGGGGACCAUCUAAAUCCGUUGAGACGACAUUGUAUGAACUAUGGUUUGGCAAGAAACCUAAGCAGUCGUUUCUUAAAGUUUGGGGCUGUGAUGCUUAUGUGAAAAAGCUUCAAUCUGAUUAGCUCGAACCCAAAUCGGAGAAAUGUGUCUUCAUAGGAUACCCAAAGGAGACUGUUGGGUACACCUUCUAUCACAGAUCUGAAGGCAAGAUAUUUGUUGCUAAGAAUGGAUCCUUUCUAGAGAAGGAGUUUCUCUCGAAAGAAGUGAGUGGGAGGAAAGUAGAACUUGAUGAGGUAAUUGUACCUUCUCCCUUAUUGGAAAGUAGUUCAUCACAGAAAUCAGUUCUAGUGAUUCCUACACCAAUUAGUGAGGAAAUUAAUGAUGAUGAUCAUGAAACUUCAGAUCAAGUUACUACCGAACCUCGUAGGCCGACCAGAGUACAUUACUCACUAGAGUGUUACGGUAAUCCUAUUCUGGAAGUCAUGUUACUAGACCAUGACGAACCUACGAACUAUGAGGAAGUGAUGAUGAGCCCAGAUUCCGCAAAACGGCUUGAGGCCAUGAAAUCUGAGAUGGGAUCCAUGUAUAAGAACAAAGUGUGGACUUUGGUGGACUUCCCGGUGAUCGGCGAGCCAUAGAAAAUAAAUGGAUCUUCAAGAGGGAGAUGGACGCUGAUGGUAGUGUUACUAUCUACAAAGCUCGAAUUGUCGAAAAAGGUUUCGACAAGUUCAAGGUGUUGAAUACGAUGAGAUUUUCUCACUCGUAUCGAUGCUUAAGUCUGUCCGAAUCAUGUUAGCAAUUGCUGCAUUUUAUGAAAUCUGGCAAAUGGAUAUCAAAACUGCAUUCCUUAAUGGAUUUAUUAAAGAAGAGUUGUAUAUGAUACAACCAGAAAGUUUUGUCGAUCCUAAAGGUGCUAACAAAGUGUGCAAGCUCCAGUGAUCCAUCUAUGGACUGGUGCAAGCAUCUCGGAGUUGGAAUAUACACUUUGAUGAGUUGAUCAAAGCAUAUAGUUUUAUACAUACUUGCGGUGAAUUCUGUAUUUACAAGAAAGUGAGUGGGAGCACUACAGCCUUUCUGAUAAGUAUAUGUGAAUACCAUAUUGUUGAUCGGAAAUGAUGUAGAAUUUUCUGGAAAGCAUAAAGGAGUGUUUGAAAGGAGUUCUUCAAAGAAAGACCUUGGUAAAGCUGCUUACAUAUUGGGCAUCAAGAUCUAUAGAGAUAGAUCAAGACGCUUGAUAAGAUUUUUCAAUGAGUACAUACCUUGACAAGAUUUUGAAGUAGUUCAAAUGGAACAGUCAAAGAAGGAGUUCUUGCCUCUAUUGCAAGGUGUAAAAUUGAGUAAGACUCAAAACACGACCACGACAGAAAAUAGAAAGAGAAUGAAAAGUCAUUCCCUAUGCCUCAGUCAUAGGUUCUAUAAAGUAUGCUAUGUUGUGUACCAAACCUAUUGUGUACCUCACCAUGAGUUUGGCAAGAGGGUACAAUAGUGAUCCAGGAGUGGAUCACUGGACAAUGGUCAAAGUUAUCCUUAGUGGAAUAAGGAUAUGUUUCUCGGUUAUGGAGGUGACAAAAAGUUCGUCGUAAAGGGUUACGUCGAUGCAAGCUUUGACACUGAUCCGGAUGACUCUAAGUCUCAAUCUAGAUACAUAUUGAAAGUGGGAGCAAUUAUCUAGAUUAGCUCCGUGCAGAGCAUUGUAGACAUAGAAAUUUGCAAAAUACAUACGGAUCUGAAUGUGGCAGACUCGUUGACUAAACUUCUCUCACAAGCAAAACAUGAUCAUGACUUAGUACUCUUUUGGUGUUAAUCACAUGGCGAUGUGAACUAGAUUAUUGACUCUAGUAAACCCUUUAUGUGUUGGUCACAUGGCGAUGUGAACUAUUGGUGUUAAAUCACAUGGCGAUGUGAACUAGAUUAUUGACUCUAGUGCAAGUGGGAGUCUGAAGGAAAUAUGCCCUAGAGGCAAUAAUAAAUAUGUUGUUUAUAUUUCCUUAUAUCAUGAUAAAUGUUUAUCAUUCAUGCUAGAAUUGUAUUAACCGAAAACUUGAUACAUGUGUGAAUACAUAGACAAAACAAAGUGUCCCUAGUAUGCCUCUACUUGACUAGCUCGUUCAUCAAAGAUGGUUAAGUUUCCUGACCAUGGACAUGCAUUGUCAUUUGAUGAACGGGAUCACAUCAUUAGAGAAUGAUGUGAUGGACAAGACCCAUCCGUUAGCUUAGCAAAAUGAUCAUUAAGUUUUAUUGCUAUUGCUUUCUUCAUGACUUAUACAUGUUCCUAUAACUAUGAGAUUAUGCAACUCCCGAAUACCGGAGGAACACCUUGUGUGCUAUCAAACGUCACAAUGUAACUGGGUGAUUAUAAAGAUGCUCUACAGGUGUCUCCAAUGGUGUUUGUUGAGUUGGCAUAGUUCGAGAUUAGGAUUUUGUCACUCCAUGCAUCGGAGAGGUAUCUAUGGGCCCUCUCGGUAAUGCUCAUCACUACAAGCCUUGCAAGCAAUGUGACUAAUGAGUUAGUUGCGAGAUGAUGCAUUACGGAACGAUUAAAGAGACUUUCCUGUGAUGAGAUUGGACUAGGUAUGAUGAUACCGACGAUCGAAUCUCGGGCAAGUAACAUAUCGAUGACAAAGGGAACAACGUAUGUUGUUAUGUUGUUUAACCGAUAAAGAUCUUCGUAGAAUAUGUAGGAGCCAAUAUGAGCAUCCAGGUUCCGCUAUUGGUUAUUGACUGGAGAUGUGUCUCGGUCAUGUCUACAUAGUUCUCAAACCCAUAGGGUCCGCACGCUUAACGUUCUAUGACGAUUUGUAUUGUAAGUUAUGUGAUUUGAUGAAGCUAAGUUUGUUAGGAGUCCCGGAUGAGAUCACGGACACGACGAGGAGUCUCGAAAUGGUCAUGAGGUAAAGAUUCAUAUAUUGGAAGGUUACAUUCGGAUACCAGAAUGGUUCGGGUCGUUUCAGAUGAGUUUCGGAGUACGGGGGUUGUUGGACCCCCCCCCGGAAGUUCAUGGACCUUCAUGAGCCUUAGUGGAAAGGAGAGAAGGGCCACAAGGGAGGCCGCCCCCCCAUGGCCAGUCCGAAUUGUACUAGGGAGGGGGGCGGAGCCCCCUCUUUCCUUCUCCCCUCUUCCUCCUCCCCUCUCUCUCCCUCUCUUGGAAAGGAAGGGACUCCAACUAGGAUUGGGAAUCCAAGUUGGACUCCCCAUGGCGCGCUCCCCCCUUGGGCCGGCCACCUCUCCCCCCUUUAUAUACGUGGGAGGGGGGCACCCCAAAGGCACACCAAGUCUUCUCUUAGCCGUGUGCGGUGCCCCCCUCCACAGUUACACACCUCGGUCAUAUCGCCGUAGUGCUUAAGCGAAGCCCUGCACCGGUAACGUCAUCAUCACCGUCGCCACGCCAUCGUGCUGAUGGAACUCUCCCUCAUCCUCAACUGGAUAAAGAGAUAGAGGCACGUCAUCGAGCUGAACGUGUGCUGAACGGGAGGUGCCAUACGUUCGGUGCUAGGAUCGGUUGGAUCGCGAAGACGUUCUACUACAUCAACCGCGUUACUAAAGGCUUGCGCUUUUGGUCUACGAGGGUACGUGGACACACUCUCCCCUCUCCUUGAUAUGCAUCUCCUAGAUAGAUGUUGCGUGAUCAUAGGAUUUUUUUUAAAUACUGCAUUCCCCAACAGAAAGGCCAGAAACAGGGAGCGUAGAAACAGAAGGAAACAAAGAGAGAGAGAGAGAGAGAGAGAGAGAGAGAGAGAGAGAGAGAGAGAGAAUCUCGGAGGGGCUCCCGCCCCUCCACUGCCAUGGAAGCCAAGGACCAGAGGGGAAACACUUCUCCCAUAUAGGGGGGAGGUCAAGGAAGAAUAAGAAGAGGGGGGGCUCUCUCCCCCUCUCUCCCGGUGGCGCCGGAACGCCGUCGGGGCCAUCAUCGUGACCGCAAUCUACACCAACAACUACGCUGCCGUCAUCACCAACUCUCCCCCCCUCUAUGCAGCAGUGUAACACCCCUUCUCCCCUCUGUAAUCUCUACUUAAACAUGGUGCUCAACGCUACAUAUUAUUUUCGAAUGAUGUAUGGCUAUCCUAUGAUGUUUGAGUAGAUCCGUUUUGUCCUAUGGGUUGAUUGAUGAUUGUGAUUGGUUUGAGUUGCAUGUUUUAUUAUUGGUGUUGUCAUAUGGUGCUCUCCGUGUCGCGCAAGCAUGAGGGAUCCCCGCUGUAGGGUUUGAAAUAUGUUCAUGAUUUGCUUAUGGUGGGUGGCGUGAGUGAUAGAAGCACAUACCCGAGUAAGUAGGUUGUCUGUGGAUGGGAAUAAAGAGGACUUGAUACUUUAAUGCUAUGGUUGGGUUUUACCUUAAUGAUCUUUAGUAGUUGCGGAUGCUUGCUAGAGUUCCAAUCAUAAGUGCAUAUGAUCCAAGAAGAUAAAGUAUGUUAGCUUAUGCCUCGCCCUCAUAUAAAAUUGCAAUAAUGAUUACCAGUCUAGUUAUCGAUUGCCUAGGGACAAAUAACUUUCUUGUGUGACAAAAAGCUCUGUACUCAAACUAACUUAGUUGUUUCUUUAUCUAAAAAACCACUACUUUUUAUUUACGCGCUCUUUAUUAUCUUGCAAACCUAUCCUACAACACCUAUAAAGUACUUCUAGUUUCAUACUUGUUCUAGGUAAAGCAAACAUUAAGCGUGCGUAGAGUUGUAUCGAUGGUCGAUAGAACUUGAGGGAACAUUUGUUCUACCUUUACCUCCUCGUUGGGUUUGACACUCUUACUUAUCGAAAGAGGCUACAACUGAUUCCCUAUACUUGUGGGUUAUUAGAAGCUAGUCCUAUCAAAGACUACGCUUCUGGCAGCCUCCAUCUUGAAGCAUAUAGAAGAGAGUAGCAAGUACAACAUCAAGUAACAUCGUAUAGCAUAAUCCUAACUGGCGAUCCUCUCCUCGUCACGAUGUGAGAGAGCGAUCACUAGGUUGUAUCUGGAACUUAUCUGGGUGUAUUUUAUUAAGUAUCCGGUUCUAGUUGUCAUGAGGUUGGAAAUAGAACUCCACGUUGUCCUGAUACCGUGGACACAACUAUUCGAAUAGAUCAAUCUUACCUGCAGGGGUGCACCACAUUACGCGACAUGCUCGAUCCCUCUGGUCGGGCACACUUUCCUGGGUCAUAUCCGGCCUCGGGAGAUCAACAUGUCGCAGCCCUACCUAGGCCCAACAAAGAGGUCAGCACACCGGUCUAAAUCCUAAGCACGCAGGGGCCUUGGACCCAUCGCCCGUUGCACUCCUACAUGUUGCAUACACGGGCGGUGAGCAGACCUAGCCCCCUUAAUACAAGUGCAGGCUUCCAGUCCAACCCGGCGCGCGCCACUCAGACGCUGACGUCUGAAGAGCUUCGGCUGGUACUAUAACGUCGGUUGCCCAUAUAUUGUCUCACGUGGCGGUUAGUGCGUAUAAGGCCAAUGACCAACUCAGAUCAAAUACCUAAUCUCGUUAAGCGUGUUAUUAUGGAAUAACUGUGGACGCCAAUUAGGGGCCAGGCCCACCUGUCUCCUAGGUGGUCACAACCUGCCUUGUCGCUCCGCAACAAAGUAAUAACACUAUGGGGCCGUCGGGAGCUACUAUGAUAGUAAGCACCAUGAUUUGGCUUUCAAGAUCGGAGAUCAUGUUUACCUCUGCGUCUCUCCUAUGAAAGGUACUCGUCGCUUCGGUAUCAAAGGGAAGCUUGCCCCUAGAUACGUGGGACCUUUCAAGAUCGUCAGCAAGAGAGGCGAUCUCGCCUAUCAACUCGAGCUUCCUUCAAACUUUGCAAAUGUGCAUGACGUGUUCCAUGUCUCUCAGCUCCGAAAGUGCUUCAAGACUCCUGACCACACCGUCAACUUCAAGGACAUUGAGCUCCAAGAAGAUCUCUCUUAUCGUGAGCACCCCGUUGCUAUUCUUGAAGAGACUGAACGCAAGACUCGCAAUAAGUCAAUCAAAUUCCUCAAAGUCAAGUGGUCACACCAUUCCGACCGUGAAGCUACCUGGGAACGCGAGGAUCACCUCCGUUCUGAAUACCCGGCGUUCUUUCAGUCCUAGAUCUUGGGACGAGAUCCUUUCGUAGUGGUGGAGUGUUGUAACACCCCAGAUAUGAGUUACCCAAUAUGUACUCCAACUCUUGCCGUUUCCGGCGUUAAGUUAUUUUAUUUUCUCGGGUUCGGGUUUUUGUCUCCGUGUGUUGUUAUCGUUGUCAUGCAUCUCAUAUCAUGUCAUCAUGUGCAUUGCAUUUGCAUACGUGUUCAUCUCAUGCAUCCGAGCUUUUUCCCCGUUGUCCGUUUUGCAUUCCGGCACUCCGUUCUCCUCCGGUGGUCAUUUCUACCUUUCUUUCGUGUGUGGGGAUUAAACAUUUCUGGAUUGGACCGAGACUUGCCAAGCGGCCUGGGUUUACUACCGGUAGACUGCCUAUCAAGUUUCGUACCAUUUGGACUUCGUUUGAUGCUCCAACGGUUAACCGAGGGACCGAAAAGGCCUCGUGUGUGUUGCAGCCCAACACCCCUCCAAGUGGGCCCAAAACCCACCAAAACCUUCUCCAUCAUCUAGAGCGUUCGAUCACGAUCGUGUGGCCGAAAACCGCACCUCAUUUGGACUCUCCUAGCUCCCUCUAUGCCUAUAUAAAGACACCCCCGAAAAUCUCCUUCUCCUUCCCCCCCGAAAACCCUAGAUCCAUCUCCACCCGCCGCCGCCGGACAAAGCUGCCACCGACGGACACGUCCAGCUCCGCCCCGCCGCUGCCACGUGGCCCUCUCCCGUUGGCCGCCGCCCGGCGCCCACUUUGCCGCCGCGCGGGCCUGNNNNNNNNNNNNNNNNNNNNNNNNNNNNNNNNNNNNNNNNNNNNNNNNNNNNNNNNNNNNNNNNNNNNNNNNNNNNNNNNNNNNNNNNNNNNNNNNNNNNNNNNNNNNNNNNNNNNNNNNNNNNNNNNNNNNNNNNNNNNNNNNNNNNNNNNNNNNNNNNNNNNNNNNNNNNNNNNNNNNNNNNNNNNNNNNNNNNNNNNNNNNNNNNNNNNNNNNNNNNNNNNNNNNNNNNNNNNNNNNNNNNNNNNNNNNNNNNNNNNNNNNNNNNNNNNNNNNNNNNNNNNNNNNNNNNNNNNNNNNNNNNNNNNNNNNNNNNNNNNNNNNNNNNNNNNNNNNNNNNNNNNNNNNNNNNNNNNNNNNNNNNNNNNNNNNNNNNNNNNNNNNNNNNNNNNNNNNNNNNNNNNNNNNNNNNNNNNNNNNNNNNNNNNNNNNNNNNCGCCCGGCCACCGCUCCGCCCGGCGCCGCCUCCGCCUCCGCCUUCCGCCUCCGCCGCACCCCUCCGGCCGGCGUGCCCCCAUCUCCAAGUCCGACGAGCUCCAAGUCCGACUCCGGCCAUCCUCGUUUUGCGUGCUCUGGCGAGAUCCGAUCCAGAUCUAAAAAACCCUAGGGGUUGACCUUUUUCUUCACUAAGUUUUUAGUUUAUUUAGCUAUUUUCAUCAUGUCGUACCUCCGCAUCCGUAACUCCGUUUUGGGCAUAUAGCAUAUCAAAAUGUUUGUCUCAGAGAGCACAUCAUUUCAUCUCAUUGCAUCAUUUUCAUUUGAGUUCAUUUUGAUGCCCGAAAUGCUGUUGGAAGAAUGCUAUUUGAGAUUAUUGUCAGAUCUGCUGCUCCAAUUAGACAUUUGUCAUUUUUGCCAUGAUUAUUGUGUGCAUGAUAUGCCCCUGAGCUCUUCAUGAGUUUUGUUAUAUGCUUUGCCAUCUUUCCAGAGAUGCAACCCAUGUAUUUUUGUGAUGUGUGUGGUGACUAGCACAAGCUUGCAAAGUGGAGCAUUCGUUAAUGCUGAUUUCAGGGACUUAGCAUUUCCACUAAGUCCUUGAUCUGUUUAUUUCAAUAUGCCAUAUGUUCAUGUUGUUUCCUAGUGAUCCGUGCCUCUUUUGAGGAUGAUCAGCAAGGAUGUUUUGUUAAUCUUGUAGUGCUCUAUCCAUCCAUGUCUUUGUUUGCAAUUAUGGAGCACGCUAGCUUGAGUCAAUCAAGCUCUACUUUUGCUAUUUCGUGAAUCUGGGCAGAUUGUCUACUUGUUAGCGAUUUUGCCGAGGAUGUUGUAGUUGAUCCAUGCAUGCUAUGUUAUUGUUCUUGCCAUGUCUAGCUUGUAUAAUGUGUAUUCUUGAUGGGUGUAUGCUUAGAUUGUCAUGACUUGCUCUGUAGUGAGUGCAUCGAGCUCGUAAACAUGCCUACUUGAUAUCUGUUUUUGCAUGCUCCAGUUUUCACGAAGUCUGUGAUCUGAUUAUGUUUUUGCCAUGUUCACAUGCUUGUAAUUGUAUUUUCUGAUCACUUUUGGCUCAAGGUCACUAAGGGACUUUUGUUAAGCUCUUUGUGUAGCUCCAUGCCAUGCUUUAAUUUGCCAUAUUCCGGUCCUGUAGCAUAUAGUUUUCAUGCUCCAAAGUGUGCUACCUGAUCUGAAAUUCCAGACAAAUGUUAAUUUUAGUAAGUCGGAAAUCUGUUUACCAAAUGCAUUUUUGCCAUGCUUGUUUGAACCUGUUAAUGGAUGAAUUGGCCGUAUCUCAGUGUUCAUAUUUUGUUAAGCAUCAUGAAUGGAUCCCUGCCAUGUAUUUUGAUGCCAUGUUUGGGUGUUGUAGCAUGUUCAUCUUGUUGCAUUUAGAUGGCUACUUGCUGUAAAUCGCAGAACGUGGUCAUAUUUGAAUUGCUUGCCAUUUCCAAACCGUAACUCCGAUUCCGGUGUUCUUUAUAUUGUUUUCAAGCGAUUUCAUCUCACCUUUCCAGUGGCACACUUGGAUUUCCAAGUUGAGGCAAGGUUAAUUAAUUCCUUGUCAAAUCUUGCAUAUGCAUCACAUAUCGCAUCUCGCAUAGCAUACCAUGUUUGCAUCAUGUUGUUUGAGUUUGCACGUGGUUGAUUGUGUUCCGUUUGCUUGUUUUUCUUGUUUGGGUAGAGCUGGGAGACGAGUUUGCUAACGAGGAGCCCGUUGAGUUUGCUUUCGAGAAUCCAGUCAACUCUGACAACUUUGCAGGCAAGAUGAUCAUACCCUCGAAAUCACUACUAUCUUUGCUUUGCUAGAUGCUCGCUCUUUUGAUAUGCCUAUGCUAUGAUGCCUACCACUUGCUUACCAUGCCUCCCAAAUUGCCAUGUCAAACUUCUAACCCACCAUGUCCUAGCAAACCGUUGAUUGGCUAUGUUACCGCUUUGCUCAGCCCCUCUUAUAGCGUUGCUAGUUGCAGGUGAAGAUUGGAGACCGUUCCUUGUUGGAACAUUAUUUACUUGUUGGGAUAUCAUUAUAUUAUAUUGUUAUCUUAAUGCAUCUAUAUAGUUGGUAAAUGGUGGAAGGCUCGGCCUCUCGCCUAGUGUUUUGUUCCACUCUUGUCGCCUUAGUUUCCGUCAUAUCGGUGUUAUUUUCCCAGAUUUUGCGUUCCUUACGCGGUUGGGUUAUAAUGGGAACCCCUUCAUAGUUUGCCUUGAUUAAAGCUUUUCCAGCAAUGCCCAACCUUGGUUUUACCAUUUGCCACCUAGCCUCUUUUUCCCUUGGGUUUCCGGAGCCCGAGGGUCAUCUUAUUUAAACCCCCCCGGGCUAGUGCUCCUCUGAGUGUUGGUCAACCUAGAGCCCCUUGCAGCGCCACCUUGGGGAAACUCGAGGGCUGGUUUUAGUUGUACGGAUUGCUUAUCCGAUUGUGCCCUGAGAACGAGAUAUGUGAAGCUCCUAUCGAGAUUUGUCGGCACAUUCGGGCUGUGUUGCUGGAUUUGUUUUAACUUGUCGAAGUGUCUUGUAGAACCGGGAUACUGAGUCUGAUCGGAACGUCUCGGGAGGAGGUCUAUUCCUUCGUUGACCGUGAGAGCUUGUCAUGGGCUAAGUUGGGACUCCCCUGCAGGGAUUUGAACUUCCGAAAGCCGUGCCCACAGUUAUGGGCAUAUGGGAAUUUGUUAAUGUCCGGUUGUAGAUAACUUGAACCUUAACUUAAUUAAAAUGAAUCAACUGUGUGAGUUACCGUGAUGGUCUCUUCUCGGCGGAGUCCGGGAAGUGAACACGGUGUUGGAGUAAUGCUUGCCGUAGGUUGCCCUCUAGUUACUUGUUCGCGCUUUGCCUCCUCUUCUCGCUCUCUUUUGCGUACAGGAUAGCCACCAUAUAUGCUAGUCGCUUGCUGCAGCUCCACAUAUAUUUACCUUGCCUUACCCAUAAGCUUGAAUAGUCUUGAUUGCGAGGGUGCGAGAUUGCUGAGUCCCUGUGGCUCACAGAUUACUUCCAAACCAGAUGCAGGGCCUGAUGAUUCCGUUCCAGAUGACGCGCUUGAGCUCAAGUGGGAGUUCGACGAGGACUCACGCCGAUACUACGUGUCUUUCCCUGAUGAUCAGUAGUGGUGCCCAGUUGGGGUGAUCGGGACCGUGUCGCAUGUUGGGUUAUCUUUUAUUUUGGCACUGUAGUCGGGCCAUGAGUGUUUGUAUUCUGUAAUGCUAUUUAUGUACUUUGAUUGACGUGGCGAGUGUAAGCCAACUAUGUUUCUCCCCUUUUAUUAUCUAUAUUACAUGGGAUGUUGUGAAGAUUGCCUAACUUGCGACAUUGCUUUCAAUGCGGUUAUGCCUCUAAGUCGUGCCUCGACACGUGGGAGCUAUAGCCGCAUUGAGGGCGUUACAAGUUGGUAAUCAGAGCCUUCCCCGACCUUAGGAGCCCCAUUGCUUGAUCGUUUUUAGCGGCCGAGUUGUGUCUAGAAAAAUGUUUUAAGUCAUUUAGGAAUUAUAUAUCGGAGACUUUAGGAAUUCUUUUUACUCCCCAGUCUCCUCAUCGCUUUAGUAAGGCAUCCUGACGUAGAGUUUUGACUCUUCUCUUCUCAAAUUUCACUAAAAAAAUAUUUAGGAUCACGCGGGUAUCUUGGAAUCGUUUCAAUGGUUUUGUGACGAGAACAUUGUUCUUGGUGCCUCCUGUCUUUAGGGGUUGUGGUAGUGUCCCGGGGAGUUGAGCUCCGAGGUGUUGUCAUCACAAUUUUAUCGUUGUAGUUCUGGAAUACCUGAGUUUAGUACGCCGACAUCGAAAAUCUCUUUUAUGCAGUUCGUUGGUGAGAUAACCUCGAUGCCACCCAGUACUGGGGCGGGAGUUCGGGAGUAUCGCCAUAACUUGUAUAACGGAUGCUUUUCAAAGGUUGAGGUAGAUGGUUUCCGAAGUUUUUCUCGGUUAUGUGUUGAAGGAUGGAUACAGCUGGAUGUAGGAUUUGCUAGAUUUGGGUGAGAUAUUAUGCUUCCCCUAUAUCCCCAACACCUGAUUGCAUAACCGGAAAGGUUCGGGAGUUUCAUAGGUGGGAAUUCUUGUAGCUCUAGUUCUUCUUCCACGGAUAUUUGGUUUGAGAUUGGGAUUUCUUACCGAGUAUUCGUUCUUGAUCCGUACCUUGUUGAUUUAUUUCUCUACCUAAAUUCUAAGUGGCUUCUCAAUUUAUGGAUAUGUGACCAUUUCAAGUGGAAUGCAUUCGUUCAUUUUGUUCGGAUGUGAAGACUAUAUGUUGCAAUUUCAUCCCGUUUGAUUCAGCUUCAUUUUAUCUGUCAAUGUGCUAACGGUUGUCACCCUCUUCAGGAUGGCUCCCGCUAAGAGCACCAACCAGAAUCAGAAUCAAGAUCCGCCACCACCUCCACCUCCUCCAGAGGCAUGGCAAGCUGUGAUGGCCGCAACCAAUGCAAACACAUAGUUGAUCAUGCAAAUUCUUCAAGAGCGCAAUCAAGUGAACCAAGGGAACCAAGGCAACAAUCAGAAUCGCUUUGCUACACUCAACCAGUUCCUUACUAGAGGGCCAAAGACUUUCAGCAAUUGUGUUGAGGCAAAUGAUGCUGACGAUUGGCUCGUGGAUCUGUGCAAGCAUUUCGAGUGCAGUAACGUCAGGUCUGAGGACGUUGUCAAGUUCGCUUCCUUCCAACUCAAAGACCAAGCUGCAGAAUGGUUCCAGCAGUACAAGGAUUCCAGAGGAGGCCAUGUGAUUACCUGGGAUGAAUUCCGUCAAGACUUCAAAGCUCAUCAUAUUCCUCAGAGCGUGGUUGAAAGCAAGCGUGAGGAAUUCCGCAACCUGAAGCAAGGCUCUUUGUCUGUCUAUGACUACAACAAGUUAUUUCAGAAGCUCGCCCGCUUUGCUAAGCAGGACGUCCCUGACGAGAAGAGCAUGAUAUACCAGUUCAGGGGUGGUCUCAGAGAAGAAAUCCAGCUAGCUCUUGUUCUCUUUGAGCCCUUGAGGUACGAUGAGUUCUACAACAUGGCAUUGAAGCAAGAGGCUGCUCAACUGAGGUGUGAUGCUUCCAAGAAGCGAGUCAGAGAUGCUACUCCUUCUUCCUCUACUCAAGUGGCCAAGCAAUAGAAGUAUUGGCUUCCUCCUCCUCUGUUCCGUCAGCUGUAUCAACAGAAGAGCAAAGGUGGCAGUGGAUCUUCCCACCCACCCAACCCUGGCUUUCAGAACAAGACUUCGUCUCAAGCUCCUAGAUCGAGUGCUCCGUAUCACCGUCCGCUUUCAGAGGUCACGUGCAACAAGUGCCAACAGAAGGGUCACUAUGCCAACAAAUGCUUCAAUCAGAGGCGUCUCCCUCCUCCUCCUCCUGUGAGAUCGGCAAGUACAGUUGUGGUCAAGCAUAACCCCAAGNNNNNNNNNNNNNNNNNNNNNNNNNNNNNNNNNNNNNNNNNNNNNNNNNNNNNNNNNNNNNNNNNNNNNNNNNNNNNNNNNNNNNNNNNNNNNNNNNNNNNNNNUAGAAGAGCAAAGGUGGCAGUGGAUCUUCCCACCCACCCAACCCUGGCUUUCAGAACAAGACUUCGUCUCAAGCUCCAAGAUCGAGUGCUCCGUAUCACCGUCCGCUUUCAGAGGUCACGUGCAACAAGUGCCAACAGAAGGGUCACUAUGCCAACAAAUGCUUCAAUCAGAGGCGUCUCCCUCCUCCUCCUCCUGUGAGAUCGGCAAGUACAGUUGUGGUCAAGCAUAACCCCAAGCACGCCAAGGUCAACAUGCUGAAUGCAGCUCAGGCAGAGGACUCGUCAGAUGUCAUCAUGGGUAACCUUCCUGUUAACGAUAUUCCUGCAAGAGUUCUUUUUGACACUGGUGCAUCGCAUUGCUUCAUCUCGAGUCCUUUUGCAUCUAAGCAUGAUUUUGUUACUCAAGUGUUGUUGAAACCGUUGGCUAUUGUCUCUCCGGCCCGUCAAAUGACAUCUCGAGUAUGCGUUCUGGAUGUUACAAUCACUUUGGGUGACUAUAAGUUCUUGUCCUCUCCAAAUGUUCUUGGUGACUCGGAUAUUGACCUUAUUCUUGGAAUGGAUUGGCUUUCUAAGCACAAGGCUCAGCUUGAUUGUGCAGCCAGGCAGAUUCAAUUGACUCAUUCGUUUGAGGAUGUAAUUGUCUUUGCCGCUCGUGAUGAUACCAUCCGUCUGUUUUCUCUCAAUGAGAAGGGUGAACUGGAUGCUAUCUCGCAAAUUCCAGUCAUUUGCGAAUAUCAAGACGUCUUUCCAGAAGAGCUUCCAGGAAUGCCUCCGCACCGGCCAGUUGAAUUCGUCAUCGAUCUUGAGCUUGGCACGGAACCAGUGUGCAAGCGUCCUUACAAGCUCGGACCUGAAGAGUUGAAAGAGCUGAAGAAGCAACUCGAUAUUCAAGAGAGAAUGGGUCUCAUCCGACCUAGUUCUUCUCCGUGGGGUUGUGGUGUUCUUUUUGUGAAGAAGAAGGAUGGAACGGACCGAGUUUGUGUUGAUUACCGUCCAUUGAACAAGAAGACUAUCAAGAACAAAUACCCACUUCCCAACAUCAACGAGCUGUUCGAACAACUCAAAGGCACCCAAGUAUUCUCCAAGCUUGAUCUCCGUAUGGGUUAUCACCAGAUUCAAAUCCGUGAGCAAGAUAUUCCCAAGACGGCUUUCAGGACAAGCUUUGGUUCAUAUGAAUACAUUGUCAUGUCUUUUGGUCUUGUCAAUGCUCCUCCGACUUUCUCUCGCAUGAUGAACUUCAUCUUCAACGCCUACACCAAUGACUUUGUUUUGGUCUAUCUCGACGACAUUCUGGUCUUUUCGAAGAACAAGGAAGAUCAUGCCAAGCACUUGCGUUUGGUGCUCGAUAAGCUCAGGGAACACCAGUUCUACGCCAAGUUCUCCAAGUGCGAAUUUUGGCUAGAUGAGGUUCUUUAUCUUGGGCAUAUCAUCUCUGCCAAGGGCAUUGCAGUGAAUCCUAAGAAUGUGUCUGCAAUUGUGAAUUGGGAACCACCUCAGAACGUGAAGCAACUCCGUAGCUUCCUCGGUCUCGCAAGCUAUUGCCGAAGAUUCAUUGAAAACUUUUCUAAGAUCGCGAAGCCUCUCUCAAAUCUUCUCCAGAAGCACGUCAAGUACGUUUGGUCUCCGGAGUGUGACAUUGCUUUCAACACUUUGAAAGAGAAAUUGGUCACUGCUCCAGUUCUGACUCCUCCUGAUGAAUCCAAGCCGUAUGAGGUUUUUUGCGAUGCCUCUCUCCAAGGUCUUGGCGCAGUGUUGAUGCAAGAGAAGAAAGUUGUGCCCAACGAGAAGAACUACCCCACUCAUGACCUCGAGUUGGCGGCAGUUGUGCAUGCUCUUUUGACUUGGAGACAUCUCUUAUUGGGAAGAAAAGUGGACAUCUUCACUGACCACAAGAGUCUCAAGUACAUCUUCACUCAGCCUAAUCUCAACCUCAGGCAGACUCGAUGGGUUGAAAUGAUUCAAGCGUAUAAUCCGAGUAUCUAGUAUACUCCAGGAAAGGCCAAUGUGAUUGCUGACGCAUUGAGCAGGAAGGCUUAUUGCAAUAGUCUGAUUCUCAAGCCUUAUCAACCCGAGCUUUGUGAAGCUUUCCGCAAACUUAAUCUGCAAGUUGUUCCUCAAGGUUUCCUCGCCAACCUUCAAGUCUCUCCUACCUUGGAAGACCAGAUUCGCCAAGCCCAACUUCUUGAUGCUAUGGUGAAAAAGGUGAAGAUUGGGAUUGCCAAGAGUCAACACAAGUACAAGUGCUACUGCCUUGAUGACAAGGAUACUCUCUUCUUCAAGGAUCAUAUUGUUGUGCCCAAAGGUGACCUUUGUAAAGUGAUCAUGAACGAGGAUCACAAUUCUCUCCUCUCCAUCCACCCUGGGAGCUCGAAGAUGUAUCAGGACCUCAAGCAGGCUUAUUGGUGGACUCGAAUGAAGCGCGAGAUUGCUCAAUUCAUGAAUGAAUGUGAUGUCUGCAGAAGAGUGAAGGCAGAACACCAAAGGCCAGCUGGUCUCCUCCAACCUCUUGCCAUUCUAGAAUGGAAGUUUGACCACAUUGAGAUGGACUUCGUGACUGGGUUUCCAAAGUCCAAGCGUGGCAAUGAUGCUAUAUUCGUUGUCAUCGACAAACUCACCAAAGUGGCUCACUUUCUGCCUAUCAAAGAGUCUAUCACUGCAGCUCAAUUGGCGGAGCUCUAUACCUCUUAAAUUGUCUCUCUGCACGGUAUUCCUCAAGUGAUCUCUUCAGACCGUGGCAACAUCUUUACCUCCAAGUUUUGGGAUUCUUUUCAGAAGGCCAUGGGCACCAACAUCCGCUUCAGCACAGCUUUCCAUCCUCAAACUAGCGGUCAAGUCGAGCGUGUCAACCAGAUUCUUGAAGAUAUGCUCAGGGCUUGUGUGAUCUCCUUCGGCAUGAAGUGGGAGGAUUGUCUUCCUUAUGCUGAAUUCUCCUACAACAACAGUUUUCAAGCAAGUUCGGGCAAGGCCCCAUUCGAAAUUCUAUAUGGCAGGAAGUGUCGUACCCCUCUCAAUUGGUCUGAAACCGGUGAACGUCAACUUCUGGGUAAGGACUUAAUCACAGAGUCAGAGGAAAUGUGCAAAGUCAUUCGAGAUAACCUCAAAGCAGCCCAAUCCCUCCAGAAGAGCUACUAUGAUAGUAAGCACCGUGAUUUCGCUUUCGAUAUCGGAGAUCAUGUUUACCUCUGCGUCUCUCCUAUGAAAGGUACUCGUCGCUUCGGUAUCAAAGGGAAGCUUGCCCCUAGAUACGUGGGACCUUUCAAGAUCGUCAGCAAGAGAGGCGAUCUCGCCUAUCAACUCGAGCUUCCUUCAAACUUUGCAAAUGUGCAUGACGUGUUCCAUGUCUCUCAGCUCCGAAAGUGCUUCAAGACUCCUGACCGCACCAUCAACUUCAAGGACAUUGAGCUCCAAGAAGAUCUCUCUUAUCGUGAGCACCCCGUUGCUAUUCUUGAAGAGACUGAACGCAAGAUUCGCAACAAGUCAAUCAAAUUCCUCAAAGUCAAGUGGUCACACCAUUCCGACCGUCAAGCUACCUGGGAACGUGAGGAUCACCUCCGUUCUGAAUACCCGACGUUCUUUCAGUCCUAGAUCUCGGGACGAGAUCCUUUCGUAGUGGUGGAGUGUUGUAACACCCCAGAUAUGAGUUACCCAAUAUGUACUCCAACUCUUGCCGUUUCUGGCGUUAAGUUAUUUUAUUUUCCCGGGUUCGGGUUUUUGUCUCCGUGUGUUGUUAUCGUUGUCAUGAAUCUCAUAUCAUGUCAUCAUGUGCAUUACAUUUGCAUACGUGUUCAUCGCAUGCAUCCAAGCUUUUUCCCCGUUGUCCGUUUUGCAUUCCGGCACUCCGUUCUCCUCCGGUGGUCAUUUCUACCUUUCUUUCGUGUGUGGGGAUUAAACAUUUCCGGAUUGGACCGAGACUUGCCAAGCGGCCUGGGUUUACUACUGGUAGACUGCCUGUCAAGUUUCGUACCAUUUGGACUUCGUUUGAUGCUCCAACGGUUAACCGAGGGACCGAAAAGGCCUUGUGUGUGUUGCAGCCCAACACCCCUCCAAGUGGGCCCAAGACCCACCAAAACCUUCUCCAUCAUCUAGAGCGUUCGAUCACGAUCGCGUGGCCGAAAACCGCACCUCAUUUGGACUCUCCUAGCUCCCUCUAUCCCUAUAUAAAGACACCCCUGAAAAUCUCCUUCUCCUUCCCCCCGAAAACCCUAGAUCCAUCUCCACCCGCCGCCGCCGGACAAAGCCACCAUCGACGGACACGUCCGGCUCCGCCCCGCCGCUGCCACGUGGCCCUCUCCCGUUGGCCGCCGCCCGGCGCCCACUUCGCCGCCGCGCGGGCCCGUCGGGGCUCGGGGAGAGCCCUCCCGNNNNNNNNNNNNNNNNNNNNNNNNNNNNNNNNNNNNNNNNNNNNNNNNNNNNNNNNNNNNNNNNNNNNNNNNNNNNNNNNNNNNNNNNNNNNNNNNNNNNNNNNNNNNNNNNNNNNNNNNNNNNNNNNNNNNNNNNNNNNNNNNNNNNNNNNNNNNNNNNNNNNNNNNNNNNNNNNNNNNNNNNNNNNNNNNNNNNNNNNNNNNNNNNNNNNNNNNNNNNNNNNNNNNNNNNNNNNNNNNNNNNNNNNNNNNNNNNNNNNNNNNNNNNNNNNNNNNNNNNNNNNNNNNNNNNNNNNNNNNNNNNNNNNNNNNNNNNNNNNNNNNNNNNNNNNNNNNNNNNNNNNNNNNNNNNNCGUCUCGCCCGGCCAUCGCUCCGCCCGGCGCCGCCUCCGCCUCCGCCUUCCGCCUCCGCCGCACCCCUCCGGCCGGCGUGCCCCCAUCUCCAAGUCCGGUGAGCUCCAAGUUCGACUCCGGCCAUCCUCGUUUUGCGUGCUCCGGCGAGAUCCGAUCCAGAUCUGAAAAACCCUAGGGGUUGACCUUUUUCUUCACUAAGUUUUCAGUUUAUUUUGCUAUUUUCAUCAUGUCGUAACUCUGCAUCCGUAGCUCUGUUUUGGGCAUAUAGCAUAUCAAAAUGUUUGUCUCAGAGACCACAUCAUUUCAUCUCACUGCAUUAUUUUCAUUUGAGUUCAUCUUGAUGCCCGAAAUGCUGUUGGAAGAAUGCUAUUUGAGAUUAUUGUCAGAUCUGCUGCUCCAAUUAGACAUUUGUCAUUUUUGCCAUGAUUAUUGUGUGCAUGAUAUGCCCCUGAGCUCUUCAUGAGUUUUGUUAUAUGCUUUGCCAUCUUUCCAGAGAUGCAACCCAUGUAUUUUUGUGAUGUGUGUGGUGACUAGCACAAGCUUGCAAAGUGGAGCAUUCGUUAAUGCUGAUUUCAAGGAAUUAGCAUUUCCACGAAGUCCUUGAUCUGUUUAUUUCAAUAUGCCAUAUGUUCAUAUUGUUUCCUACUGAUCCGUGCCUCUUUUGAGGAUGAUCAGAAAGGAUGUUUUGUUAAUCUUGUAGUGCUCUAUCCAUCCAUGUGUUUGUUUGCAAUUAUGGAGCACCCUAGCUUGAGUCAAUCAAGCUCUACUUUUGCUAUUUCGUGAAUCUGGGCAGAUUAUCUACUUGUUAGCGAUUUUUGCGAGGAUGUUGUAGUUGAUCCGUGCAUGCUAUGUUAUUGUUCUUGCCAUGUCUAGCUUGUAUAAUGUGUAUUCUUAAUGGGUGUAUGCUUAUAUUGUCAUGACUUGCUCUGUAGUGAGUGCAUCGAGCUCGUAAACAUGCCUACUUGAUAUCUGUUUUUGCAUGCUCCAGUUUUCACUAAGUCUGUGAUCUGAUUAUGUUUUUGCCAUGUUCACAUGCUUGUAAUUGUAUUUUCUGAUCCCUUUUGGCUCAAGGUCACUAAGGGACUUUUGUUAACCUCUUUGUGUAGCUCCAUGCCAUGCUUUACUUUGUCAUGUUCAGGUCCUGUAACAUAUAGUUUUCAUGCUCCAAAGUGUGCUACCUGAUCUGAAAUUCCAGACAAGUGUUAAUUUCAGUAAGUCUGAAAUCUGUUUACCAAAUGCAUUUUUGCCAUGCUUGUUUGAACCUGUUAAUGGAUGAAUUGGCCGUAGCUCAGUGUUCAUCUUUUGUUAAGCAUCAUGAAUGGAUCCCUGCCAUGUAUUUUGAUGCCAUAUUUGGGUGUUGUAGCAUGUUCAUCUUGUUGCAUUUAGAUGGCUACUUGUUGUAAAUCGCAGAACGUGGUCAUAUUUGAAUUGCUUGCCAUUUCCAAACUGUAACUCCGAUUCCGGCGUUCUUUAUAUCAUUUUCAAGCGAUUUCAUAUCACCUUUCCAGUGGUACACUUGGAUUUCCAAGUUGAGGCCAGGUUCAUUCAUUCCUUGUCAAAUCUUGCAUAUGCAUCACAUAUCGCAUCCCGCAUAGCAUACCAUGUUUGCAUCAUGUUAUUUGAGUUUGCAUGUGGUUGAUUGUGUUCCGUUUGCUUGUUUUGCUUGUUUGGGUAGAGCCGGGAGACGAGUUCGCUAACGAGGAGCCCGUUGAGUUUGCUUUCGAGGAUCCAGUCAACUCUGACAACUUUGCAGGCAAGAUGAUCAUACCCUCGAAAUCACUACUAUCUUUGCUUUGCUAGAUGCUUGCUCUUUUGCUAUGCCUAUGAUACGAUGCCUACCACUUGCUUAUCAUGCCUUCCAAAUUGCCAUGUCAAACCUCUAACCCACCAUGUCCUAGCAAACCGUUGAUUGGCUAUGUUACCGCUUUGCUCAGCCCCUCUUAUAGCGUUGCUAGUUGCAGGUGAAGAUUGGAGACCCUUCCUUGUUGGAACAUUAUUUACUUGUUGGGAUAUCAUUAUAUUAUCUUGUUAUCUUAAUGCAUCUAUAUACUUGGUAAAGGGUGGAAGGCUCGGCCUCUCGCCUAGUGUUUUGUUCCACUCUUGCCGCCUUAGUUUCCGUCAUAUCGGUGUUAUUUCCCGGAUUUUGCGUUCCUUACGCGGUUGGGUUAUAAUGGGAACCCCUUGAUAGUUUGCCUUGAUUAAAGCUUUUCCAGCAAUGCCCAACCUUGGUUUUACCAUUUGCCACCUAGCCUCUUUUUCCCUUGGGUUUCCGGAGCCCGAGGGUCAUCUUAUUUAAACCCCCCCAGGCCAGUGCUCCUCUGAGUGUUGGUCCAACCUAGAGCCCCUUGCAGCGCCACCUCGGGGAAACUCGAGGGCUGGUUUUAGUUGUAUGGAUUGCUUAUCCGAUUGUGCCCUGAGAACGAGAUAUGUGCAGCUCCUAUCGGGAUUUGUCGGCACAUUCGGGUGGUGUUGCUGGAUUUGUUUUAACUUGUCGAAGUGUCUUGUAGAACCGGGAUACCGAGUCUGAUCGGAACGUCUCGGGAGGAGGUCUAUUCCUUCGUUGACCGUGAGAGCUUGUCAUGGGCUAAGUUGGGACUCCCCUGCAGGGAUUUGAACUUUCGAAAGCCGUGCCCGCGGUUAUGCGCAUAUGGGAAUUUGUUAAUGUCCGGUUGUAGAUAACUUGAACCUUAACUUAAUUAAAAUGAAUCAACUGUGUGAGUUACCGUGAUGGUCUCUUCUUGGCGGAGUCUGGGAACUGAACACGGUGUUGGAGUAAUGCUUGCCGCAGGUUGCCCUCUAGUUACUCGUUCGCGCUUUGCCUCCUCUUCUCGCUCUCUUUUGCGUACAGGAUAGCCACCAUAUAUGCUAGUCGCUUGCUGCAGCUCCACAUAUAUUUACCUUGCCUUACCCAUAAGCUUGAAUAGUCUUGAUCGCGAGGGUGCGAGAUUGCUGAGUCCCUGUGGCUCACAGAUUACUUCCAAACCAGAUGCAGGGCCUGAUGAUUCCGUUCCAGAUGACGCGCUUGAGCUCAAGUGGGAGUUCGAGGAGGACUCACACCGAUACUACGUGUCUUUCCCUGAUGAUCAGUAGUGGUGCCCACUUGGGGUGAUCGGGACCAUGUCGCAUGUUGGGUUAUCUUUUAUAUUGGCGCUGUAGUCGGGCCAUGAGUGUUUGUAUGCUGUAAUGCUAUUUAUGUACUUUGAUUGACGUGGCGAGUGUAAGCCAACUAUGUUUCUCCCCUUUUAUUAUCUAUAUUACAUGGGAUGUUGUGAAGAUUGCCUAACUUGCGACAUUGCUUUCAAUGCGGUUAUGCCUCUAAGUCGUGCCUCGACACGUGGGAGCUAUAGCCGCAUCGAGGGCGUUACAUAUAUACAUGUGAUCACCUCCUGAAGUGAUCACGUCCCAGUAGUAUAGCAUGGCAGACGGACAAGUAUGUAGGGCCACUGAUGGUAAUCUAGCAACCUAUACUAAGCAUCUAGGAUUGCAAGUAAGGUAACAACAAUAGUAACAAGGACAGGCUAUGCAGCAAUAUAGGAUCAAACCGAUGAAAUAGUAACACUACUCUAAUGCAAGCAGUAUAUAGAGAGAAGAAGUAGGCAAUAUCGGGAUGAUCAAGGGGAUUUUGCUUGCCUGGAAGCUCUGUCGAGAAGGAGGGGUCGUCAGGACCGUAGCCGACGUCUGGAGCAGCGGCGUCGGUCUCGAAGUCUACCAAAGAGAAGAGGGGGAAGAAACAAUGAAUACAAUGCAAACAGAUGCAUGGCAUGACAAAAGGCGGUGCUAGGUGUGAUCUAAUGCAGUACUAGGUGAUGCUGGUGAAGGGGGAAGACAUCCGGGAAAGUAUUCCCGGUGACAGGCAUUUUCGGACAGAUGAAACGGAGGGGGCGGUUCCACGUUCGCUGUGCUAGGGGUGUGUGACAGACGAACGAAGCGCGUAUUCGAAAUCGCCACGUUUUUCUGAGCAACUUUCAUGUAUAAAGUAUUUUCAUCCAAGUUACAGAUUAUUUUAUAUUAAUUUUCAAAGUUUUAAAUCAUUAUUUUGAAUUUUUUGGAAUUAAUAUUAUUUCAAAAUAAAAGAAUAAAAUGCUAUGGGUACACAGAGAGUGUACCCAACAAAGUGCACAGAGGCUGACAUGUGGGCCCAGUCAGCAAUUGACUGGGUCAACAUCAACUGGUCAAGGGUCCAGUCAGCAGAGGAUGACUAGUGGACCCUAGUGCUGAGUCAGCAGAGCACAGUCAACAGAUCUUGUCCAAAGGCAUAGUAACAGGGGUCCCACUUAUCAGUUUAGUUAAUUUAAGUUAACUGUUUUUUCUCUUUUUUAAAAAGUGGGGGAUUUGGGCUAAGCUAACUAGCCUAUCCUAAUUAAUCAAGGGAUGGGGCCCAAGUGGCAAUGGCCCAGCCGGGCGCUGGUGUGCACGCACGCAUGGUCGUCGAUGGCUGAACCAGCAGCGCCAACAACAGGGGAGGCGAGUGUGGGGUGCGGCGGCUAGCCCGGGCGCAGGCCGACGGCCAGGAGGAGAGGCAGGCGAGGCGAGCGGCCGGGCGGAGCGAAGCGGACGGCUGAAGGCGGCGACGGGCGCUGGGAGCGGAGCUCCAGCGGGCGCUGGGGAAAGCGUCGGCUCGCGGCGGGGAGGGGCAGCGAGGAAGGGUGUGGGCUGGGUGGUAGGAAGAGGAGCAGCAGGGCAGGCGGACGGGUGCGACAACAGCAGGGGAAGCAGCACAAAGAGCAGCUGCAGAAGUCGACAUCAGCAGCGGGAGCAACAAGCGGGGAUGGGCGCGGACCGCGGUGAGGCCGGCCGGUAGCGGUAGGCACGACUGCAGGCGAGCAGCCGGCGGCGCGCGAGGCAAGAAAGGGCGAGCAGCGGCGGCCUCAAUCGGAGCAGCCAGCAGCGGCAAGGGAUGGCGUCGGCGCGGCAGUAGGCAGCGGCAGCAGGGGUGAGCAAAGACGGGCGCGAGGGCCGCUGCAAGGCGUGGGCGGGCAUAUCCAUUCGCGGCCAGAAGUCCACGGUGGGCGCGGCAUGUGAAGGAAAUAUGCCCUAGAGGCAAUAAUAAAGUUGUUAUUUUAUAUUUUCUUAUUCAUGAUAAAUGUUUAUUAUUUAUGCUAGAAUUGUAUUGAUCAGAAACCCAAAUACAUGUGUGAAUACAUAGACAAACACUGUGUCCCUAGUGAGCCUCUACUUGACUAGCUCGUUGAUCAAAGAUGGUUAAGGUUUCCUAACCAUGGACAUGAGUUGUCAUUUGAUAACGGGAUCACAUCAUUAGAAGAAUGAUGUGAUGGACAAGACCCAUCUGUUAUCUUAUCAUAAUGAUCGUUCAGUUUUAUUGCUAUUGCUUUCUUCAUGUCAAAUACAUAUUCCUUCGACUAUGAGAUUAUGCAACUCCCGGACACCAGAGGAAUACCUUGUGUGCUAUAAAACGUCACAACGUAACUGGGUGAUUAUAAAGAUGCUCUAGAGGUAUCUCCGAAUGUGUUUGUUGGGUUGGCAUAGAUCGAGAUUAGGAUUUGUCACUCCGAGUAUCGGAGAGGUAUCUCUGUGCCUCUCGGUAAUACACAUCAUAAGAAGCCUUGCAAGCAAAGUGACUAAUGACUUAGUUGUAGGAUGAUGUAUUAUGGAACCAGUAAAGAGACUUGCCGGUAACAAGAUUGAACUAGGUAUGAAGAUACCGACGAUUGAAUCUCGGGCUAGUAACAUACCGAUGGACAAAGGGAAUUGUGUAUGUUGUCAUUACGGUUCGACCGAUAAAUAUCUUCGUAGAAUAUGUAGGAGCCAAUAUGAGCAUCCAAGUUCCGCUAUUGGUUAUUGACCGGAGAGGUGUCUCGGUUAUGUCUAUAUAGUUCUCGAACCCGUAGGGUCCGCACACUUAACGUUCCAUGACGAUAUAGUAUUGUAUGAGUUAUGUGAUUUGGUGACCGAAUGUUGUUUGGACUCCCGGAUGAGAUCACGGACAUGACGAGGAGUCUCGAAAUGGUCGAUAGGUAAAGAUUGAUAUAUAGGAUGAUGGUAUUCGGACACCGAAAGUGUUCCGGAGGGUAUCAGGUACAUAUAGGGUCACUGGAAGGGGUUCCGGGCACCCCCGGCAAAGAUAUGGGCUUAAUGGGCCAAGGGAGGGACAGACCAGCCCAGAAGGGGUUGAUGCUCCCCUCCACCAAGCCAGACAGCCCUAGGGAAAGGAAAGGGGGGAAGGCAAGUCCCUCCUUCCUUCCCCUCCUCAAGGGAGAAAAGGAAAGGGGGGCACCACCUCCCCCUUCCUUCCCCUGGCGCCUAUAUAAGGAAAGGGGGGCGAACCAGGGCAGGAGCCCAAGUGGGAUCCGGCCUCACUUGGGGCGCCCCUUGGCCUCUCCCCUCUCCCACCUAUAUAUAUGAGGAGGGGGCGCCUAGAACAUUCAACAUCAAUUGUUAGCCGUGUGCGCCGUCCCCCUCCACAGUUUACACCUCUGGUCAUAGUUUUGCGGUGCUUAGACGAAGCCCUGCGAGAAUCACUUCACCAUCACCGUCACCAUGCCGUUGUGCUGGCGGAACUCAUCUACUACCUCGACACCUUGCUGGAUCAAGAAGGCGAGGGGCAUCACCGAGCUGAACGUGUGCAGAACUCGGAGGUGUCGUACGUUCGGUGCUUGAUCGGUCGGAGCUAGAGGAAGUUCGACUACAUCAACCGCGUUGUCAAACGCUUCUUCUUUCGGUCUACGAGGGUACGUAGACACACUCUCCCCUUGUUGCUAUGCAUCUCCUAGAUCGAUCUUGCGUGAGCGUAGGAAUUUUUUUAAAAUUGCAUGCUAUGUUUCCCAACAGCAAGACGUGUGGGACGUGGGCGUGGGGCACGGCCAUGGCGGCCUUGCCGGAUCUGGGUGGCUAUGGUGACGGAAUCAGGAGAAGGAAAGGGGGAAGGGGCGGCAGCUUACACCGGGUGCAACGAGAAGGGCUCAACAGAGAAGGGGACGCCUCGGUGGUGGAGGAUCGAGCGCCGAUGCACGACGACCGCAGGGGAGGAAGAAGAUGCACGCAAUGUGGGGACGGCUCCAUGGCUUUGCUCCGUCAUUUGUUUGUUUUUUUCUCCACCGUGCGAAUUAUAAAAUGUUUGCCACAUGUCAUAAAAAUAAUCAUGUAUUUUCAAAAUUUUCGUCGGGUCUUAGAUUUUUCUUUCUAUCUUAUCUAGAAAAUGUAUUUUCUCAAAUUCAUGAACAUUUUUUAAAUGGGAAAACCUUGUUUUUGCCACUAUAGUUUUUGCCCACUUUGCUUAUGCCAUUCUAGAAUUUGACAUGUCACUUUUGCCACCCUUAGCUUUUGACAAUUAUCACAAUUUCCAUCCAUGGCAAAAAUAAAAUUUUCAGAGUGGCAAUUGUGAUACAUUUCAAAAUCUAAGAGUGGCAAAAGUGAUAUAAAGAAUUAUUGCUUUUGCCAUCCAAUGGCAUUUGUGAUGUAUUGUCAAAAGGCGGGAGUGGCAAAAGUGAGAUGUCAAAUUCUAGAAUGGCAUAAGCAAAAUGGGCAAAAACUAGAAUGGCAAAAACAAAGUUUUCCCUUUUUAAAUUGUUUUUAACGCCCAAUGAUCAUCUUAAAUUGUUUAUAAAAUGUUCGUCAUAUAUUCUUUUUUUAAAUGCACAAAUUCCGUGCUCCCGCCAAAAAAAGUGUCCUGCAAAAAAAAUACACAAAAUUGUAGCUCCUAAACUAUACAUUCAAAACCAAAUUUGUAAGUUGUAACUCCUAAACUAUAGAUUCAAAACUAAUUUUGUAGAUCGAACCAUGACAAUGCGUGAACUGAGAGGCAAGGAGUGAAGGAAAGGCACACCCCAUGUAUGCCUGCUGUUUAAUUUUCUUUUCCUGAUUUGUUUUAAUUCUGCUUUACCAAACAAGAAAACAAUCCCUGUUUCGUAGAGAUGCAUUGGCUUAUGUUGUGUGUGUAAUGUGCAGCGCCCAGACAAGACAAAAACUGGGCUGGAGAUGCAGGCCAACAUAGAACGCAUGGUCGUAACAGAAAACGAAAAUCAAAUGAACAAACAAUCAACAAGUCUGGGUGGGCUUGUUUUUUGAUGAUAUGUGCUGAAGUCAUUAUGUCACAUUUAGAUCUAGAUGUGCCAUAGACACACCCUAAUACAAAAUACUCCCUCCCUCCCUACCAGGUGCAGAGGUAAUACUAUGCGUCAGAUUAAUUAAUAAGGCCCACUCAUGACAGUGUAUGAUCCCAUGACACAAAUAUGUAGAGUAGUAAUUUGGUACUGUAAGUUCUCUUAUGGUGCAGACCCUUUUUUUUGUGGGUAUAUACUGAGUAGAAAAUAUGAUUCCUGGAUGUUUCAGACAAACUUUGCAUUCAAAUCUUCCAUGUUUCACAGAAAUUCUGUCACCGGUAAAAAUGUUUCUCAAAAUUCAGAUCAUGACAUCUUUCUCCAGCUCUCAUGAAACUCCAAACUGGAAAAUGGGCCUACUCCUACGGUGGGGAACCAAACCAGCGCUAGGAUUGGCUCCAUCGACCAAUGGCUUCUCCUACCCUAAUCCUAUCGCCAGCCUUGACGCAGAAGCCGAAAUCCGAAGAGACCGUCCUGUCCUCCCUCGCCUUGGACAGGGGCGCUUCAAAUACGACGACCACGGUCGACCCCAUGUGGAAUCCUGCUACCUGGAAAUGGCGGGACGGGCAUCAGAACUCUGCUACCUGGAAAUCCUGCUAUCAGUGAAAUGAAAACUGGGGCUGAGUUUACCUCUUGCCCCUUUUUAACCAUCAUGCCGGUGCCUUCGGGUUCAUAAACACGCUCAUCGUAAGGUUGGGAGUGAAGUGUCAUGGACCCUGGACUGUUUGUCCUCAGCUCCGGUUCAAUGAGCAGCUGAAAAGAGUAGAACAUCAGUAACAUAUGUAGAAAUCUAUCUGGCGCAUAAUUCGGUAUGGUGCAGAAGAGAUACUUUGAUGGAGCCAACAUUAGUAGCACCAACAGCUGCAAUUGCAACAAACCCUUCUUUCCAUUGACCCUCAAGUACUACCUGUCGUUAACAGUGACAGAUUCAGUAAGAACGGCAGUGCCAAUGAAAGAUUGAUGAUAAAUAGCUCAGCUAUAGUUCAUCAAUGUUUAUCACAGAAUGCUAGAAUAGGUAAGAUAGUGAAAUUACCCUUUCAUUCUCGAUAUAUAGAUUUCUGAUGGUCCGCACAGCACGUUCAUUUGUUGGGAAAAGAUUACCUAAAAACACAACAUGUUUGUAAUACUCAAGUUCCCUCAAAGUUUCACAGGUAUACUGCAGAACAGAAUAAACGCAAACCUGAGAAAUGUCGACGUUUGAAAAUAUUCCAAUCAACAGGAGAGUGAACUCGAUGAUAAUCACCAGGGUGCAAGUACAGGACACAAUAAAAGAUUCCUCUCUUUGGGCUGACAAGCAGGAGUUUAAGUUAAUAUCCACUAUUAGUUGAAAUGAGCGCCUUCAGUAACAUGUGCUGAGAAGCAUUUAACAGUACAAGUAAUACAUCAACUUGAAGAGACAAAGAGUACACAAAAGAAAAAUAAGUUUUGUAAAAAAAAUCUGAACAAUGACAGAAAAAGUUUUUGUUAGUGAGAAUCUGGAGAAGAAUAAUGCUACUACUAGGCUUGCAGCUUAGAGCAGUAUAUUGCAUUACAUGCAGCCAGAUUUCUGUUAAAAAACACAGAUGUCAUGGGCAAUCCCACAAGAACAGAGCCCAUGCAUGUACUAAAGCAAAUUUCAAGUGAAAAGGGUAUACUGGAACAUAAGUACAUGACAGUAAAUCAAACAUGACUGCAUAUAUGUACUUGGAAGCAUCAAUUAACAGGACAGCAUAUACAUCUCAAAUAUAAAGUGCACUUGUGAAAGGGCUUCUACAGGCAUGGUAGUCGCAACACUCAGAAGGCCAAAACAUCCCUACAAACCGAAGGGUUUCUAUGAUGCUUGUCUUUCCUAAACCAGCUUAUACAAUUAUCUCAGAUAUGUCACUUCUAAAUCUAAUUAUGAAUACCUCAGCAGUGUUCGAUCCCGAAGUUUAGGUGAAGCCACAGAUACUCGCCACCAUGAUUUUGCAUUCGAGCUCUCAGGCACAUUUUGUUCUGUUUGCUCUCCAGAAAUAUCUUUUUCUGUGGCAUCAUGAAGCGAUGAACUAGCACCAACAAGAGAAGAAACAGGAUAAGAAAAGCCUUUGACUUGCUCAAUCAUGGUUCCUGGACCCCUGAGCUGUCCAAGCCGCAAAACUUUCCCAUCGACAGGACUCACCUAAUUAUAGAAUUCCACACACAGAUCAGAUAAGUCUUGACUCUAUAACCAUCACCACAUUAGACAUAUAGCGGAAUAAUAUAUAGUUACCAGUUACCAGGCAAUUUGGAUCUGGAUCGAUAGGCCUUGACCCUUCUUUGAGACUGCGGAUGAAGAAUGCCUGCAAAGAAGGAUAUUCUUCCAGGGGCAGAGCAGGUUCUUGCAAAUCUACAGUAUGGAACAGUCAAUAUCUCGUUUGAAAGAUGAAAAAUGAAGUUUCCCAAAUAUAGGCAUAAUAAAUAUCAAGAGUUCAAACACAGUACAGACGAGAGAAGAAAAGCAGAUAUAUGCCACUAAGCACUAGUAGUUGCUUGAAAUUUUCUGAAGAACUUGUUUUGUUGGUAUUGCUACAUAUCAUCAGGGCUCAGACUUCUUGUACAUUAUAAACUUGAACAGACUAAUAUAUUAUUUUAUUUUUGCGGGUGAGAACAGACUAAUAUUAGAUGACAUAUUGCAAGAAUUAUAUGAUUUGGAAGGCAAGUCAACCAGAGACUGGAGAACUAAAUUUUCCUAACAGACUGUAGAUUAAGAAUUUUAUCACGACACAAGAAUACAUACUGGAGUGGAAUGCUCUGGCCCAUGCUUUGUAGAUAGCAGGACGCAUGAACACCGGAACCUCCUGCAAGAAAUUAAAUCAAUUCAUGAAUCGAGCAGCGGAAGAAUACAUACAGUUUCUGUAAAUACAGAGAAUACACACCACUUCCAUCAAGUAUCCCCAGACACGCGACAUCGAACGCAGUGGUAGAAGCCUCAGAAACGAAGCCUGUAAUUGAAAACGGCGUCAUUGCACAGCCACGGUGAUGAAUUCCAGACAAAAGCAAAUGGUUCCAGCAGUAACUAGAGUACCUUAAGGUCUGGCGAGAAUUCCGGCUCGAUUCCUUGCUCCUUCCUUUCGACAAGCUAUAGUAACUCAUGAAAGAAAGUGUCACGCACAUUGAACAAGAUGUCCAUGUUGAGGCUUUGCAUACACAUUGUUAAAGCUUGCACAGAUUACCUACCUGUUUGCCAUCGUACAUUCGCUUGGCGUGUAGAACGCCAAGCAUGAGAAGGACUGCUGCCGAGGCGCCGGGCAGAAGGAACUUGCCUGAAAACCGACAGGGGCAAGCACAAACAAUGUCAGCAGUGACACACCCUGAGAUGAUGGACGGGAAACACAAAACAGACGAAAAAAUUGACAGGCUUCAGAGAUGUAGUAGAGUGACUAAUUAAGCAACAUGUGUGGUUCAGUUGUAGUAUGACGCAGUAACGCGCUAGCAAAAUCAGUGGCGCGGAACUCGCUGCUCAAAUCGAAGCCCAAAGAGGAAAAGGGAGAGGCUAAAAUGGGCAGGACUGAUGGAGCAGGAAUCGCGGUCGGCAGCGGCAGUGCGGAGUCCGCGGGAGUCGUCCGGCCCGGUCCAGUGGAGUAGACUCUGCGAUGGUCGCUCACUACAGGGCCCGCCCGCCCGAACACCUAGCAGUAGCAGCAGCGUCCAUCUUGCAUCGAAUCAUGAGAGGUUUUCUCUGGUAGGUCGGGGCUUAGAGGGAUGACCGGGGUGGUGGCCAGCAACGGCGGUGGGAAAAGAGGUUGAGGGUGGCAAUGCUGUGUGCGGUAGCGCCCGUCGGGGGAUUGGUCAAGGUAUACCUGGCCAUGGACAGCCCAAGAUGCUUGCCAACAAACAGCACCCGCAGAAAAUGCUCAUAGCGGCAACUUUGCACAGGAAGGAUGCCAGCCAGCCAGCCAGCCAGCAAGCCUUUUGUGCACACUGCUCGGCUCGGCUCGGCGGACUGUUAACGGCGACCACCACACGAUUCAGUGACACUAACGCCUAGCAGUACAUGGCAGCCGCACAACACACAGCGGAUUUACCAACUCGAUCCUACAGUUAUCUGCACUGGUUCCGUCAGUCGGUCGGAGCAAGAUCCGCGGGCGCAUUCUCGGCUUUCUCCCCUUCCUAUGCUCCACCAGAAGAAGCCUCGUCGCGGGGGCCUACCCCGCAUAGUCGGGAUCCUCAUCGUCAUCAUCCGUCACGUCCUGCGGAGGACUAGACACCGCGGACGCGGCCUCCUCCUCCUCCUCCUCCUC
This 76372-nucleotide long non-coding RNA is filed under the name Triticum aestivum (bread wheat). Its description in RNAcentral is "long non-coding RNA (TAES_LNC006505)". Lineage: Eukaryota; Viridiplantae; Streptophyta; Magnoliopsida; Poales; Poaceae. The record is from RNAcentral.